CACUACUUUAAUUAGAAUUGUAUAUUGAUAGUUGUAUUAAAUGUACAAGGUGUUAUUUUUCUGAUUUCUGAUUAGCUUGUUUACUAUGUUGAAACCUUGUGCUGUUUAUACAAGAGUGUACAAAAGAUAACAUUCCCAAUUAAGAAUCUGGUUAGCCUACACACUGAUAGACUCCAUAGAUCAAUAAAUAAACACAGCAUUACAUGAUGUACAGGAAGUGGAAGAUAGCCAGAUCAAUGACACAGGUGUAAUAGAAAAUGAAGCUAGAUUGUCAUGACUCACAAACACCAUGUUGUCUGAAUAAAAUGAAAGGUAUUACCAUAAAAUGCUGCCUUAAAUUAAAACUAACUUGAAUCAUUUCCCCAAAAAAAGUUUAAGGGAGGAAAACCCUUUUUUUUAACUUGGAUUUCAAUACCUUAACUUUAUGACCCACCACUGUUAAAGAAAUAAGAAAGCUUGUGUAUACUCUCUGAAUUUUUAUACAUUCAAAAUAUUGCCACUGAAGCAGUGAUUUUUAAAUGUCAGCAUUUCUGGUGGUUUCAAGGUGGUAAUGUCACUGUAUUCAUACAAACCGUGUGGUGUUACACCAUCAUCAACUAACAAUGACAGAGUGCAGGCAUGGUAGGUUGAGGAGAGAUGCAGAAGAUAAAAAGCAGGGAUAUUCUAAACAAGAACAAAGAGGAAGAGAGGUACAAAUUAUUUAAUUGUUAUGAUCUAAGGGCAAAAGUGAAAGAGAAGUGGGAUAGAGAGUAGGCAGGGAGUGAAGGUAACAGUCUAUUGACAAAAUGCAGAGGGUACAAAUUCUUUUAAGAGGUUGUUUCUAUAUUGCAGCUACUUUGGCCAAUGGACAAGCAUUUCAUGGCACCUGAGGAGACAGACUUGGAAGAACAUGGAAAUGCUAUCAACACCUGUGAUGUUAUCUUCAGAGAGCAUACUGAAAAAUUCCUGAAACCCAGAGAUGGACAUAUUUUUGUAGGAUGCAGCCUUUGGUAAGGCACAAAUGCCCUACUACCUGUCUUCAGAGCUGACAUGGUGAGAAGUGUGGAUUAUACUAAAACUGUAGCUAGUGAUACAUAAUAAAGAUUACCACCAACUUGGGAGAAUUGAUGUUUUAAAUUGUAACUGCAGGCUUUAUCACGGAUUGCUCUAUCUUGCUUAGAGCUGACUGUGGCAAAUAAGAAAAACUAUUGCUCUCAUCCAAUCCAAUUAUUAAAGGUAGAGAGGGUAUACAAGAAGGACAAGCCAGUGAGCACACUCAAAAAUAGGAGCUAGAUGCCUUGUCAAUAGAGUUUAAAAAAUGUUUUUCUCUUUUAUUUAUUUUUUAUUAAAGUCAUCUGUAGACUUGUGCAAUUUGUUUUAGCUGAAACACUUAAUCUGGAAAAAAAAUCUGAGAAGUUCAAAUCUUAUUAAUGAAUAAAGAUUCAGGAAAACAAAUCAGAUGAACCAAAAGGGCAAUUCCUGGAACCCAGAGAUGGACAUAUUUUUGUAGGAUGCAGCCUUUGGUAAGGCACAAAUGCCCUACUAACUGUCUCCAGAGCUGACAUGGUGAGAAGUGUGGAUUAUACUAAAACUGUAGCUAGUGAUACAUAAUAAAGAUUACCACCAACUUGGGAGAAUUGAUGUUUUAAAUUGUAACUGUAGGCUUUAUCACGGAUUGCUCUAUCUUGCUUAGAGCUGACUUUGGCAAAUAAGAAAAACUAUUGCUCUCAUUCAAUCCCAUUAUUAAAGGUAGAGAGGGUAUACAAGAAGGACAAGCCAGUGAGCACACUCAAAAAUAGGAGCUAGAUGCCUUGUCAAUAGAGUUUAAAUUUUUUUUUCUCUUUUAUUUAUUUUGUGGCAAAACCGACCUCGCCACUGGGCAUUGGAGAAGACUGAUUGCCAGCCUCCUGCCAUGUGACUAUGGCCCCUGGGAUGUAUUGCCCUUUAAAGACAUGAUUUGGGCAUAAUGGAUUUGUGUUGUGCUGCUGUUGGCCCUUUAAGAACCAUCUGGGGACAUACUGUGGAGUUACUAGGUGGCCACCAUUUCCUGUAUCAGAGGCACAUGGUGAGAACAAUGGAUGAAGCACAUGGUGAGAACAAUGGAUGGUGGCCAUUUUAACUCACAGACACUGUUUGGACUUUUCAACACGGUGCCAUCUCGCCAGUAUUUGGUGCACAGAGACAUUGGGCAGUGGUUAUGGACUAUACAACAGGGGACACCUUAUACAGUAAUUGUAUUUCAUAUAGCCUGCAUAUGUUCUGUAAAAUCUGCAUUAAACUGUAUCUUCCAAAGUACUGAAAUGAUCUGGGUGAAUUUUGUAUAUGUUCACCCAGAUCCCCCGGUUCCAAGGAUAUACUUUUUAUGGGGUUAUUGCAUGUUUUGGGGUCCCUGUGAUGUGUUUUAUGAAACUGUAUUUCUCUGUCUGUGAUAAUUAGAUUACCCAUUGUGUAAGGUAAUUGUAUCAGAGGCAGAGGGGAGGAUUUUGUGUGGGAGUGUCUGAGUGUAUUGUACGUGUUAUUGGUUGUUCUGUAAAACCCUGUGGGCAGUACUAAGUUUGUGGAUUGGGAAUAAAAGAGGCUGUAUGUGCCAGUCCAGACAGUUCCUGCUUAACCCUCAAAGUGAAGUGUCGUCUCAUUAUUGGGGAAGGAUUUAUUGUAUGCUGUUCCAGUUUGACUGCUAGGAGUCUAAACCCAUCCGUAUGGUUUUUGCCUAUUCAGCUGCUUAUAGCAUUCAUAUGCUUGAGAGAAGGUAUACGCUUCUCUGGUUCGGUGAUUGUGGUGUCUGCCAGAGUGCUUGGAGUCCUCAGGAAACGCUAGGAGCAUCCUUUAAUGGAGGUACCCAGUCGGGGUGCCAGGUGAUCCGUUCCAUAUUUUUUAUUAAAGUCAUCUGUAGACUUGUGCAAUUUGUUUUAGCUGAAACACUUAAUCUGGAAAAAAAAUCUGAGAAGUUCAAAUCUUAUUAAUGAAUAAAGAUUCAGGAAAACAAAUCAGAUGAACCAAAAGGGCACAAGAACAGGCCAGUCAGUGUACUGAAAAAUAUUUACAUAAUCAUCAUUCAAGUCUUUUUUUCUGGUGUCAUGGGCAGAAUCAAACAAAUCAAGCAAAUGUGUGCAAUUUGUUUCAUUCACAAGCCACAUAAAUUUGGUCAAACUGUAGUUCAGAAUAAAAUAAUUUUUUAAGUAUAGUUAUCUCACAGAUUAGUCCUAUAAGAAAAGUAUGUACAAAAAAUAUAAGUGAUGUCAGUAUCAACAUAUCAACUCAGCUAAGAAUGGACAAAAGCUUAUAGAAACACAAUAGCAGGAGCAACACCUUUUGUAAUCGAAUCUGGUGAAGGAUCUUCGCAAUCGUUGCGAACUGUGGGAAAGCAUAAGUUCCCCAAUCCGGCCACAUUUGUAGUAAUGCAUCCAUUGCUGUGCUCUCCCGGUCAAGUAGCCAACUGUAAACAUUCAGAAGCCGUUGAUUGGUGCAGGAUGCAAACAGGUCCAAGCAAAAUUGAACCCUCUGAUUAUCCAAGGCAGCAAACACCUGAGGAUCCAGUUGCCAAUAGCUGCUGUCCUCUAGUGGCAAGAUAACCAGUCUGCCAUGCGGUUGGUGUCCCCUGGGAGAUGUUCUGCCUUCAGUGUUAUGUUGAGGAGAAGACAGUAAUCGAAGAUCUAUUUUGUGAGAACCGAUUAACGCCUGGGAGUGAGUGCCUCCAAGUUGGUUGAUGUAGACUGUGUAUGACAAUGACACCUGCAAAUAUCUCCAGACUGUUGAUAUGCAGGGAGAGUUCAUGUGCCGCUGCUGACCAGCCCUGCCAAAAACACCCGUGGAGAUAUUGCCCCGGAAAAUGUCUUAUUGAGGAUUGCACCUUAUUUAAGGAUGUGAAGACAUUAAUGUGCUUGUUUAGCUCUUUCAGAAAUGCCUCUCCCAAAAGUUUGCCUUGUGCCUGUGAGCCUAAUUCAUUGGCCUCAAGAUCAUACAACUUUUCAUCAAUCGUAAAAGAAUGCUAUGCAGUGUCUCUCUGAAGAAAGCACCACAUUCGUAUUGCACAGAAAACAAAAGCAAUGUUGGGCCCAUUCAAGAAUGUUGUGCACCCAUUCACGGCUCAUACCCACAUAAAAGGAUUUGGCUCAGGAGAAGGGGUCAGCUGCCAAAUACAUAACACUGACAAAGCCCAGUUGCAUCCAGAAGCUUGUCUUGUGCUCCCUUAAACCCUUUAUGUGGGUCUCUGCCACCUUUGCCCUUAAACAGCUUGACAAUGCUGGGCGGAUUUGUUCCUCACAGGAGAAAUCUGACUGAGCCAAAUCAUAUCUGUAAUGGGAGCAUUUAGGUGCCACACAUUGACCCUUUAAUUAGUAAACACUGCUUAGGAUCCAGGAACAGGAUCCAACACAACCUAAAAGACCCCACAACAAACAAUAAAAUGGAAUAUUGAGAAAACACAAGCUAAAACACUAGACUAAAGUAAUUAAUGAGGUAAACCCAAAUUUCUGACCUGACUUGUGAUGGAGCAGCAAAGAAAGAGGAAGUAUCUUAGCUAUAGGUGCGUCUUAUACACUGAACUUUUUUUUUCAGAUUGGUUCUUCGUUUUUUCAAUGUUCGUUGCUGCUAUGGAGUAAGCAAAGAAAGUUUAUGCAAAAUAUGAAGCCUCAUGCCAUGUAGUAAAAUUACUCUGCAAACAACAUACAAACAUUUAGGCAUGGGUGUUCUAGAGAAGGGGUUCCCAACCCAGUCCUCAAUUUAGGAAUUAUCCUGUUGUGCCUAAAGGGUUUUUUUUUUUUCUAAAAACACCUUAGACACAACUGAGUAAUGCCUAAAUCCUGGACUGUUAGGGGGUACUUGAGAACUGAGUUGGGACCCACUGUUCUAGAGCAACACACUACUCUGUAAAGCAUUGCACCAACAUACCAUAUAAAUUCAGACAUUGUGGUUGACAUCUUCCUAGACAAAAAAAGUUUGUAAAACAGUUGGCAAUAUUUGGAAAAUUAUUUAAUAGAUGGGGAACUAGGAACUGCAUUGUUUUGGCUCCUUUCCAGUUUGAGGAAAUGAUGAUUUCAAGUUUCCAAGCGGGAUUGGUAGGCUCUAUCAGAUAAAUGAAAUUGGAGAAUAGUCUGACCAAGUCUACAAGUCUGGCCACAUACUUUGGCCUCCUUUAAAAUGCACAAAAUGUAUGCAAUAGAAAAAGCAUAUCACGCAUGCAAGAUAAAGAGUAAAAUUUCACUUUUGGUGUAUUGUUCACAACCAAUAUAGGUAGUUGGAAUAUAGAAGUGAGACUGGGCAUAAGUUGCACAUCCCUAAAUAAACAUUUUUCAUAACUACCUAGUUAAUGGUAAAGGGUCAUACCCAUCAUUACCAACCUUUACUGAAAAAUCCUGUACUGCCUCUAAAAUUAUUGCUAGGGUCACACUUUGUUUUGUAUUCAGCAAAUUAUUACUUAUAAUAGUACAACAAUACUUUGCAUUAAUUCCCUAUACAAUGGUAUAUCUCCCAACCUCUAAGAUGUCUUUUAGGUGUGCUAUUAUUAUUAUUAUUAUUAUUAUUAUUAUUAUUAUUUAGUAUUUAUUAUUAUUAUUAUUAUUUAGUAUUUAAUGAAAUGUACCCUUAAGUCAGCUACAAGCAUUGGUUGAUUAGGUGAAAAUUGUCAGGGUUUUAUAUACUAAUCUCCCUAGAGAACUACAGAUAUACAGGAUUAAGAGAAUGUAUGAAUCUUAAACACAUUCAUGUUGAGGAUAUGCAUUCUGUCACAGAUUACAGUGUUUGGAAGGGGAAAUGUUGAUGCAAAGAAAAUGUGCUCAAUAUACCGGAAACAAGGAGUCCAUGUUUGUAUCUUAUUGCUCCACAAAAUUGUGAGUGGUGCAAUUUGUACAAGUUGAUACGUUUGGGCACCAGCUAUAUUAAUCUCAAAUUCUUGUCAACUGCUUAACUAUAUGUCCCAGUAUCCUCUGUCAGAUAGAGGCUUAAUGAUUAUGUUUAUCUAUAUUAAAAAGUAAGGAGCAUGCUGACUGCUUGAGCCGCUUCCUGUUCUGGGCUGCUCACUGUGUAGAUGCGGUAAAGACUAGGGAUUAGUAGCAACCUCCACACUUUCAUGUGACAAUACUUUUUAUUAUAUUUUAUAUUUUGUUUUGCAUUAAAUACAGUACCUAUCUAUAAGUUCAAGUGUUCCACUUGCAACAAAAUAUAAAAUAUCAUUAUGCACCAGUUUGUCAAAAAAUUAUAUUUCAAACAUAUUUUUAAAUAGUCAUUGUGCAGAUUGCUAAACUGGUUUGUCUUUUUAUUAUACUUACAUGUAGAACUACUUUAUUCAUUCAGAGGUGGCUGUUUUAUCUGCUGAUGCAGAGGCAAGGGUCGUGACAGUAAUGUAUUCUGCCGGUGAAACAUAUUAAAAACUGUGUAGAUUCAGCCUUUAAACAGCUUGACAAUGUACAUCAUAUGCUAAACGGUUUGUCUUUUUGGGUAAUUAAGCUAGAGAUCAUUUGAUGUGUCGAUGUGGGAAGUUGAUUACUUGUGGUCAACGGCUCUUUAAGUGCGAUUCAUUUUAUCUCACAUUCUGUAGUGAAAGAAUUAUGACAUUUUAACGUUUUUUAUUAUUAUGCGCAUGAGUGGAAAUGUUGAUACUGUAAAAAGAUAAAAUGCCUUUUGUGUAAUGAUAAACCAGCUCAAUUUAAUGAUGGAAACUAAAAGCUCUGGUAAAAACUGCUUAAUUUACAAGCAGAUUUUAGAAUUACAACAGAAAUAUAGACAGAAUAUAAUUUUUUUAUAAUUUAAUUUCCUGUUACUUUAAUAUAAGUGGAUAAAUAUGCUGUUUACGAAAAACUGCAGUAAUUAUGAACCAAAUUAUUUGUGUUGUUUACAAAAAGCAAAUAAGCCAGAUGUUAACCCAGAGACUUUGAGAGAAUUUUACUCUUUGAUAUUCUUUAAGAUGAACACCUACCAAGAUUUCCACCUCUUAUUUUUUAUGUUUUGUUGUACAUUUAAAUAAAUUGAGUUAGUUUAAGAAGCAUCAUAUUAAGAAAUGCACGUUCUGGGUGUGACAAAGCUAUUUAUUCUUUUAAAGAUUAGCAACUUAAAAAAUAAAUAAAUAACUUUACAUUUAAAUUAAUAAACUUACCACUGCUGAAAACACACCUCAAUGUAUUAUUUUUCCUAAUUAUAUUAUAUAUCCUUGCAAUUAUAUGAAAAUACAGUUUACACAUUUUUUUUAUUGCAGGUUUGUGAAUCCUAGCCUGCCAUUAUAAAUGCAGAUAGGAAAUUGGCAAAUAUUGCACUUUUUUACUGUAUGACCUAGGAUACAGUAAAUGUGAAUAUAUUAUGAAUAAUAAUGAUGUGCGAGGGGUGUGGUGCGAUGCGCUUGUCUCUUCUAAUGGCUGACCAUUCAAAGUGUGAGGUAUUGUGGGGUGAGGUUCGGCUAGGAUUAUCAGCGGGUCAGUCCCCCUGUCUAGACAUGGUACAUUGUGUAUUGGUGAUGCAAAGAAGCUAGCUUCAAUCCAUACCCAUUGGGCCACGUUUUUUGGAUAUGACCAUUCGUAGAUCCUAGUGAGAAUAAUGUCUUUGUGAUAUGUUUCUAGGUCAGGUAGUCCGAGACCUCCCCACUGUUUACUCUUUAUUAAACAAUCAUAUUGGAGUCUUGAAUGUUUUCCUGCCCAUAUGAAGUUGGUGAGUAGUCAUUUAGAGUGUGAGAAGAAGGAUCUGGGGAGUUUGAUGGGUAGGGUUUGCAUUAUAUACAAAAACUUAAGGAGAACCAUCAACUUUAAGAUAUGGAUUCUGCAGAGCCACCCGAAUUGUGGUUUGUUCCAGGUCUUUAGUUCAUUAGCUACCUUGUCUAAUAGGGGUGUGAAGUUAAGGUCGUAAAUGCGUGAUAGCAUGGUAGUGAGCUGGACUCCUAAGUAUUUAAAUGACCCUGUGGGCCAGUGAAAUGGGUAUGUUGCAUUUAGUGUGGAUUGCAUGUUGCGUGAUAGGUUCAGUGGCAAUAUUUUACUCUUGCUCAUGUUCACCUUAUAGUUAGAGAGUAGAUGAUAUGUAUCAAUUUCUUUCAGGAGGUGUUUUAGCGAGGCCUCUGGGUUUGAGAUAGUGAAGUGAAGGUCAUCCGCAAAUGCAGAGACCUUGUAUUCUUGCCCUGCCACUUUAAGGCCUGUUAUGUUUGGAUUGUCCCUUAUCCCUUGCAAGAAUGGUCCCAUGGUAAGAAUGAAUAGAAGUGGGGAGAGGGGGCAACCUUAUCUUGUGCCAUUGGUAAUGCGGACUACUUCUGAUAACUGUCCGUUUACUCUUAUUCUCGCCCCCUGGGAGGAAUAGAUGACUGAUAGCCAUCCCAUCCAAUUCUGACCGAAGCCUAGAGCCUCCAUUGUGGCCUUGAGUAGGGACCAAUCCACCCUAUCAAAAGCCUUUUCCGCGUCUAUGGUCAGAAUUAGGCUCUGGGGCUGUUCCCGUGUAGCUAGGUGUAUUAGACUUAGGAGUUUUGUAGUAUUGUUUUUGGCCUUUCUGCCAGGCACAAACCCCGACUGAUCUGACUAAAACCACUACUACAAGGACUGAAUGGAUCAGUCCUUGUAGUAGUGGUUUUAGGCAGUUAGCCAAAAUCUUAGUGAAAAUUUUUAGGUCAUUAUUUAUGAGGGAGAUUGGGCGGUAGCUCCCACAUUCCUCUGGAUCUUUUCCAGGUUUGGGUAUUAGCGUUAUGUGGGCUUCUAGGGAUUCAGUUGGGAAUGUGUGACCCGAGAUAAGUGAGUUGAAGGCAUUGAUAAAGGGUUUUUGUAGGACGUCUGGGAAGGCUUUGUAAUAUUUGGUUGUGAAGCCAUCCGGCCCUGGGCUUUUGAUGAAUUUGUCAGCUGUCAAGGGUCUGUCUAUUGAUUGUCUGACGUUUGGGGGAAUCGUUUGUGUAAUCCGAUUGGAUAGGAACUGGGCUAUGUCUUCCGUGGGAGGGGGGGGUGUCUGGCGAAGGUUGUAGAGGUCUGAGUAAAAGAUGUGGAACUCCUUGAGUAUGGUUGGGAGAAGGUGGGUGUGGUUCCCGUCUUUUUGUUUAAGUGUGGUUAUGUAUGGACAGUGUUUGCUCUGUUGGAGGGCUUUGGCUAACAUCCACCCGCAUUUCCCUCCUUGGGUAUAGUAUGAGUGUUUAGUGCGUGUUAGCAUUCUCUUAAUUUUAGAAUUUAGAAGAGUCUGUAGAGCAGUGUGCUUGCCUACUAACUGCUUGUAGAGUUUGAGAGAUAGAUUAUUUUUGUGUGUCUGUUCGAUUUGGCGAAUUUCACUCAGGAGAUCUGCGAUUUGUGCUUCUCUCUGCUUUUAAAUUUUAGAGGCUAUAGCUAUGAUGUGCCCUCUCAUUACUGCCUUGUGUGCCUCCCAAGUUAUCGUCGGGGAGAUAGAUGGUAAUGUGUUGUCCUCAAAGUAGUGUUUUAGUGAAUCUGAGAGUGUUUUCAUCGUGAUUGGGUUGUUCAGUAGAGUGUCAUUAAGUUUCCAUUGGAAGCAACUGGGUGUUAGGGAUGGAAUGUGAAUGACUAGGGACAUAGGAGCAUAAUCUGACCACGUGAUGGGGCCAUAUCUGCAUGACUGGAUGAGGUGUAAGUGUCUGUGCUGGAUGAAAAGCAUGUCUAGUCUUGAGUAUGUGUGUUUGACUGUGGAGUAGAAAGAGUAAUCUCGCCUGUGUGGGUGUGUUCUCCCGCAGUCGACUAGGUGGGUUUUAUCUUAAGUCGAGUGUUGGAGUUGUAGGUCAUGGAGCACGAUGUCCAGCUCUGAAUCCAGAGACAUGUUUAGUUCACCUCCCAUUAGAAUGCCUUCUACAUGUUUGUCGAUCAUUAGAUAUGUGCAAUUCGAAUUUCGGGCAAUUCGGACAUUCAGGCACUUCCGAAUGUCCGAAUAGAUGAAUUGCCGAAUUGCCGAAUUGUCGAACUCCCGAAGUUCCGAAAUUACAGAAUUUCCGAAGUUCCGAAGUGCCAAAGUUCUGAAGUGCCGAAGUUCCGAAGUUGCCGAAGUUCCGAAGUGUCGAAGUACCGAAGUACCGAAGUACCGAAGUACCGAAGUUCAGAGGUGCCGAUGUACAGAAGUUCUGAAGCACAGUAUUGCCUAAGAACUAAUAUACUUACCCAGUGGAAGAAUGAAGAAUGUUACACUGUAUACAAUUUUAAAUAAAAAGUAUACAAACAUAGCCAGGAUUCAGCUGUACGCAUUUGCAACACUUACAACAAUCAGGUAACAUACAUUCAUAUAAAAUGUAAGAUACUUACCCAGUCAAUGUAAUGACAGGAAUGAAUAAGUAGAUAACUCCCUAAUUCCCACGGUAUUAGAGAGCUAUUUACUAAAAGGCUGAAAGACCUAAAUUGGUCUUUCAGACAAAUUUACUAAUACUAAGUAAAAAUUACGUUAUACUGCGAGUAGAGGCAUGUCUACUUUAAAAAAAAAAAAAGGAAAAGGCCCCCCGCCUGAGCCCCCACCCGUGCCGUGCGAGUGGGUUGUCCUCCUCCCUGGCCCCCACCCCUGGGCCUUCCCCCACCCUGCAGAGCUCAGGAGCCCUCCAUGGGUGAAGAAGGAUUAUUUUUUUUUGUGCUUUUUUAAGUGCGUCGGUUAUUAUGGAUUUUUUAUUUGGCCUUUUUAGGGGCUGAAAAAAGAAGAUUUUAGAAGAAAGAAAACAGCAAAUGGUAAGUUUUAUUUUUUUUACAGGUACUUAGUUAAAAGUCCCGCCCUCAAUAUUUUUAGGGUGAGAGGGGUAGGUAGGGGUUAAUUUUUUUGGGGGAUGACUAAGGGUUUGGGGACCCCUAGUCACCUGGGGGGUGGGGGACAGGAGGGAGGACAAUAGGUCCCCCCCUAUUGGUAUUUAGGGCCCCCACCCGCCGCUGAGGUGUGGGGGCCAGGGGGAGUACAUUAGGUCCCCCCCUUAUUAGUAUUUAGGGCCCCCACCCACCGCUCAGGGGUGGGGGCCAGGGGGAAGGACAUUAGGUCCCCUCUCUUAUUCUAUUUUAGGGCCCCCACCCACCGCUCAGGAGUCGGGGUCAAGGGGGAGGACAUUAGGUCCCCCCCUUAUUAGUAUUUAGGGCCCCCACCCACCGCUCAGGGAUGUGGGCCAGAUGGGAGGACAUUAGGUCCUCCCCUUAUUAGUAUUUAGGGCCCCCACCCACCACUCAGGGGUGGGGGCUAGGGGGGAGGACUUUAGGUCCCCCCUUAUUCUAAUUUAGGGCCCCCACCCACCAUUCAGGGGUGAGGGCCAGGGGGAAGGACAUUAGGUCCCCUCCUUAUUAGUAUUUAGGGCCCCCACCCACUGCUCAGGGGUGGGGGCCAGAGGGGAGGACAAUAGGUUCCCCCCCAUUAUUUUACUUUAGGGCCCCCACCCACCGCUCAGGGGUGGGGUUCAGGGGGGAGGACAUUAGGUCCCCUUUUUAUCAUAAUUUAGGGCCCCCACCCACCAUUCAGGGGUGGGGACAAGGAGGAGGACAUUAGGUCCCCCCCUUAUUAGUAUUUAGGGCCCCCACCCACCGCUCAGGGGUGUGGGCCAGGGGGGAGGACAUUAGGUCCCCCCCUUAUUAGUAUUUAGGGCCCCCACCCACCGCUCAGGGGUGGGGGCCAGGGGGGAGGACAUUAGGUCCCCCCUUAUUCUAAUUUAGGGCCCCCACCCACCAUUCAGGGGUGGGGGCCAGGGGGGAGGACAUUAGGUCCCCCCUUAUUAGUAUUUAGGGCCCCCACUCACUGCUCAGGGGUAGGGGCCAAGGGGGAGGACAAUAGGCCCUUAUUCUAAUUUAGGGACCCCACCCGCACCUCAGGGGUGGGGGCCGGGGGGGGGCAAUAAGGGGGCCCUUUUUUUUUAACAGUGAGCAGCCAGAGGCAGUAUAGCGAGUAGUGGCAACAUUUACUAAUACAAACUAAUUUUUAUUUACUUUUACAAUUUAGGUCUUUCAUCCUUUUGGUAGAUAACUCCCUAAUACCGUGGGAAUUAGGGAGUUAUCUACUAAGCGGCUGCAAGAGAAGUCCCUGUUACGGUACCUCCAGUAAUAAAUGUACAAACCGCCGUUUAGUGAAUGCUCCCCGUUUGCAAUAAUGUGGUCUGGUAGCGUAUGCAGUAUAACCAUGCGAACCGCCAGCUAGGGAACACUCCAAACUCCCGAACGGUACCUGUACGGCUCUUUCCCUUUAUGAGCUCCAAAUACACGAACUGCCAAUAUUAGCCGAACGCAAAUAUCUUCCAAGUGGCCAAUAGUUCCAGUAAGCAGUCUCUCGUCGCCGGUAAUAAAAUCCCCCCAAUAAUGAGACCAAGCUCCGCUUUGAGGGUAAAACACGAACUGCGUUUACUGUGGGCUACCUGCCCGUAUUUAUGCAGGUCUCCCACUUGGUGGAAACUCCCCUAGGGGACCAAAUGGGAGACUGAAAUGACAGAAGGACAUGGGGACAUUCUGGACAUACAUCCCCCUAAUAUUCCCAGCAUGCAUCACAGUUUCCCCCCCUCUGCUCGGGAGAUAAUUGGGAAGUAAUUCAAUUAUCUCCCAGAGCAGAGGCAAAUCGCCAUUUUAAAUACAAGUCACAAAACACAUAAAAAUAUAUAACUUUAUAACUGCCGAACAUAUUGCAUUCGUGUAACACAUCCCCAGAUAGCCUGGAUCUGAGUGCAUAUUAUUGGCGAAUAGCGCUCAGAUCCCAUACGCAUAGUUCAAUCGCCAUGGAGUCAAAGUCUAUUACAGUUCUUCGGUAUGCGAUUGACUCCAUGGGAAGGCUAUCUGGGUUAAGUCCAUUCGUGUUAUCAAAUCUCCCGAACGGCCGGUAUUCAUAUGCUUUUGUUGAUUGAGAAGGGGAGGUCGACGGCUUCAGCGGUAUUCGGUUGAAAAAGUGUCCGUUUUUAGUUCCAUGGAAUAACCGCCGAACACCGCUGGGCUUUCGCAUAGUUAAAAUGGCCGCCGCCUCGUGGUCGACAUACAAACGACGACCACCCUGUAUUCGGUUUUAAUUGAGAAGUGUCUGUGGUUAACCGCAACGUUCUAAUUGGGAUCAAUAGGUUAACCAGCAGCACACUUCUCUUCUGGGUGGCCGUCCGUUCGGUAGUUCCGUUCGACAAAAAAAAGACAUUCCCUUAAACAAAGCAUACGAACGGGGAAAUUCAUGCAAACGGCAAAACAGACGAACACAGUACUUUUAGUCCAUACAGAUGAGUCUGUCACAGUCCCGAAGUGCUGAAGUGCCGAAAUUCUGAAAUGCCGGAGUCCCGAAAUUCCAAAAUGCCGAAGUUGCCGAAGUUCCAUUGUGUCGAAGUGCCGAAGUGCCGAACCGAACUGAAUUGCCGAAGUCUCGAAUUGCUGAAGUGCCGAAUUUCAGAAUGCCGAACCGAAAAUUUUCCCCAUGCACAUGCCUAUCGAUCAUGUUUAUAUACCUGCGUAGAUGUGUGCUUUGUUUGGUGUUUGGCAGGUACAAGUUGGCAAAUGUUACUAAUGUAUUUCCCAUUUUGGCUUUAAUUAUCAGUAGCCGACCACUCGGGUCUGCGUAUUGGUUUAUAUGGGUAUAAGGGGUAUGCACCCCUAUGAUAAUGGCUACUCCCCUUGUCUUUGUCUCUGCGUAGGAGCCGAAAUAUCCCAUAUGCGUAUUGUGAAAGUGGAACCUGUUUUAAAAUGGGUCUCUUGGAGGAACGCAACAUCUGCUUUCAGCAUGUGGAGUUCCUGGAGGGUUAGCGAUCGUUUUGUCGGGGAGUUGAGGCCCCUGACAUUGAGGGUGACUAUAGUGAGAUUUGCCAUUGUGGGUAUCGGAGGGUAGGUGAUGUAUGUAUUUCGUCUAUUAAUAAGAUGCAAUAGAUAACAAAAUUCUGACAACAGUUGAACUAUUUACAGUGCUGGUGGUAUGCAAGUGGAGCAAGAACUUGAGACGUUUAUUACAGAAAGUCGGACAGCCUCGUUAGACGGUGGCUUUCCCCUAGAUGGCGCUUAUGCCUCAGGGGAGUUGUGUGGCUUUCCACUUGCAAUUAGAGUGUCACUUUGUGAUGGGGGGUUCGAUGUAGUGUAACUAAAGCGCGACUCUCACGAGACGGGCAAUCCUGUGUAUGAUUAUGACAUUUGGUGAAUAAUUCAGGCUUAGCGGUUACGUUUGUGGGACUGCUAAAAUUGUGUGCAGACAUUAUUAACAGAUAGUAUGUUUCAACAUAUAAGUAAAAGUUAUGGUCGCCAGCUUCAGUGGAAGUGCUAGGUUUCUAGGACCAGAUCUGGGUCCCCUCACUGAGUGAGGAGGGUGCUCGGUGUGGGUGUGUGCAUCUCAAUUUCUUGCUCGGCUAUAUACUGAGGCCUUUACUCAAGUUAUUUACCCCCUAGCGUGUAUAUCCCCAGUCAUGCCUAGAGUGAAAAGAUAAACAUAUAUUGCGUUCUCUUCUAUCCCGUUUGUUGUUUCGCCUUUCUCAAAGGCUAUCUGACCUUGCGUCUUAUAGGCCUGGGGGAGGUAGUGGGGAGAGGGGGUAGGGAAAAGGAAUGAGAGAGGUGGGGAGAGGAUUAGGGGGGUAUUGUUACGGAUUGGGCCCACUCCUGAGGGUAGGCGGUUGAAAUGGAGUCCCUGGUAGGAGGUAGGAGAAGGAAGGGGGGGGGUUGGGAAGGUGAGGGAAGCUGUGCGCCGGACAUCGUGCCCCCUAAUUCCCUGGUUACAUAGCAUGCAUUAUACAAAUUACCCCUCUACAGCUGUGUUCCCCCGUGCCACUUUGCUUAGACCUGGGUAGGCGUGACCUCAGAUCCUUCUAUAUGAAGUGGGUAGUCUCAAGCAAGUCCAAUAGUGGUGUGCACAGCUAUUUCACGGGGCUGUGUUACCAGGCUGUGCACCUGCAGGAUACAGUUCCGCAUGUGUUGUGGUAGGUGGAUAAGUCUUAUCGGUAUGGUAGGUAAAGUUCAGUGGGGGACAUGACCAUUCAUGUCGUCUUCUACGGGGAGUUGGGGUGGUAGUGAGUAGGGCAUUCCUUUAUCUGGGGUACAGAACAGUUCCUCCAGGGGUUUAUAGCCUCCUCCGUCGCUCACUCUUUGAGUGAGAUCCUGUAACCCAGUCUGUGGGGUUUAGUCUUUAUUCUUAUGGUUGACACGUUGUACUGAUGUGGCCUAGCAAUGUGGUUGUUCCGCGGGUCGGUAUCUUCUCGUUGUUGUUUUGUGCAGUGAGUCUCUUUACUGAGAGAAUGGACCCACUCCCGGCCUGGGUCCGCCCUGGUGUGGUAUUUAAUCAUUCUUUCUUUGUUUAGAGGGGGCCUAUCCUCUCUGCUUUUGAGGUGCUUGCAUGCAUUGUGGGGGUUGUAGCCGGCCGUAUCAGUCUGGAAGAUAUAUGUCCGGAAGUUUUAGUGCUGAGGUAAAUAGCUGCACAUCUUCUGCAGAGGAUAGGGUUGCAGUAGUUCCAUUAUGUGUUGCUGUGAUAGCCAGGUGGAAUCCCCAUCUGUAUCUUAUGUUUCUGGAGUGCAAUAGAUCCGUAAGUGGUUUCAUUGCUCGCCUUGCUUGUAGCGUCAUCCAGGAUAGGUCUGGGAAGAUCUGCACCGGCGAUCCGUGCAACAGGAGGGGUUGGGUGGUUUGGCGGAUUUCCUGAGGAUAUCCUUUUUGAGGGUAUAUUAGUGUGGCUGACAUAUUACAUCUCUGGGUGCGUCGGCUAUGAGGUUUCUAGGCCUCAACGUUCUGUGUGCCCUAUCCAAUAUAAUUGGCGCUGUCACUUCUCGUUGAAGUAUAAGAUUAAACAAUUCUUGAAGAGUGGCUGCAAUGUCCUCUCCCUCCAUUUCUGGGAGACCUUUGAUUCUCAGAUUGUUUCUGCGCCCUCUAUUAUCUAGAUCAUAAAGCGCUCUGUACAGUGCUUUCAUUUGGGAAUUAUGGGCUGCUACUGUGCUUUGCAGGCUUUGUAGCUGUGUGGCUAUAUAAUCUUGAUAAUUUUGCAGGGAGUUAACCCUUUCACUGACCUGCUUGACUUCUGAGGAAAUGUCAUCCAUUUUCUUUUGGAAUGUCACUUCCAGUUUUUGAAGCAUGUUGUAUAGAUGAUAGGAAAUAAAACAUAGUGCAAAUAUUGUUUUAUACUAUAAAAUAAUAUAAUGAUUUUUAUGCACUCACAAAUUCCAAAUUGAUAAAGCGUUUAAUGGGUGCCUCCCCACGAUGUAGAUGGGGGGUUGUAAAUGUCCCUCCUUGAGUGAUAGCCGAUGGGGUAUCAGGGUCAGCAAGAUGAUCCAACAAACUCCAACCAGAUGAAUACUUCAAAGGCAAUUUAUUCACUCAUCAGGAAUCAAAUAGAACAAUAAAAACAAAUGCAAAAAGGCCACCGGUCCUACGCGUUAUUGUAUAUUUAAUUGCUGUUUUUAUUGACAAAGUCCUUUUGUAUUUUGUGUAGGAUCGGUGGCCUUUUCGGUGGCGCCGGUUUUAGUUCCAGUCUGUUUGCGGAUUGCCCGUUUUCGCGAUUGGAGCUUAGCUAGCAGGCGUCCAUUUCUCCUUAUCUUUCAUUAGACUCAUUAAAUUAAAUUAAUGAUGAAUAUAUGGGAAGCAGCGGAAAAAUACAGGAGGGCACAUAUCACAGAGGUAUCUAGGCUUUAACACCGAAAAUACUAGAGACCAUGUAAACCAGUGGUUCUCAAACCAGUCGUCAUGGCCCACCAAUAGUCCAGGAUUUAUGUAUUUUCCUGUUUUAUUCCAAUGGAAAUACUAACAAAACCUGGACUGUUGGUGGGUCUUGAGGACUGGUUUAAGAAACGCUGAUGUAAACAUCAUUUUGUAGAAUGCAUCGUUAAACCACAUAAUUCAGAGAUCAUAGUUGUCAAUGUCAUGCUCAGAGUUCUGGUCAUACAAAGUGUAUAUUAAGUGUAGCUCCACUUGCACAAACAUUUGGGCUCAUGGGAAUUAAUUAAAUAUAUGUAUUGCUUAAACAAUAAUAAUUCAAAACUGUCAUAUUUGCAAAGCAGAAUAGUUGAUCAACUAAGCCUGCCAUACUAUUAAAAGCAUUGCUUUGUUUAUGAAACAUCUAAUGUCAAACUAAUAAGCUCACCCAGUGUCCUGACAAGCCAACUGAAAUGUAAAAAUGAAUGUAUCAAGAUACUUUUAUAGAAGCAAAAUGUUACGUGUAGAAAUGUUAACUCAAAAUUUACAAAACAAUUUAUUCUAUCAUAACUACCUUUUUUAUUAUUAGACAUGUACAUUAAAUUCCACUUUUCUUGUAUGCUUGCAUGCCCCACACUUCCAUUAAAUUCUCUGAAAUAGUAUAGAUAAAAGCCAUCCUGUUGUCUUAAAUCCCAUUAGGAAACCCAUUUCCCUUCAUUUUCUUAAUCUGAUCACACUGCCUAAAUUAGGUAAUUGUCAACUAAUCACCGCGGUAGGGGACAUCCAGUUGCUAAUGCAAUAAUUUUCUGAUGAUAUGCUUUUUCUCCAUUUGUUAGGGCUUGGAAAACAAGUUCCUACUAUGUGUUAACAACAAGUAAUUAUAUUAGGGAUGAAAUAUGACCCAAACUACUGGCAGUGUAUUUAUCUAGAUGUAUUGAUGAAUGAACCUUGUGCAAAAAACUAAAUUACAUGGAAGGAUUUCUGGGAGGAGCCUUAUUUUACAUCCAUAGCUUUAACUCUAAGUAAUAAAAAAUUAACUGCUUUCUCCUGUCAUAUUUAUAUUUAUUUAAAAAGAUAUAUCUAUACCUGUCACUCACUAUAUUUGUGAUAACAUAGAAGUUAAAUUUUAAUUUAGAAAGGCACAAUGCUAGUCUACAUUCAAGAGGCAAUUUGUUCCUUAUAUCAUUAGGCCACCUUGUUUUUAAUGGGGUUAGAAUCUUAUACUUUUCAGUUCUUGACAGUAACAUAUUACUUCAUAAACUGAUUGGCUAUUGGAACAUCGCAAGAACAGGUUUGCCUAAUUAAUUAACAAAACAUUCUAAUAUUUGAUAUACAAACGUGUAUUUUUAAUAUUAGAGUGUUUUUCUAUUUAGAUUAUUGUGCCAGUUUGAAAAGAUUUACUUAACUUAUAACCCACCCUAUACCUAUAAAAAGAGAUAUUCAAAUGAUGCUGACAAGGUGUCCAAGUUAAACCUCCACCUCAUCUCGCAGCAGCUCUAGGACUCCAGGUUGCCGCCUCUCCAGUGAUUUCUAAUCACCUGUAUACCACAAAAUUGGAGUCAUGUAGGGUCUUCAUCGUGGACAUUUAAAAAAAUGAAGAUAAACAUUGUGAUUUAAAAAACCUCUCCUUAUAUUAUAAAUAUUCUCACAUACCCUUGUUUUUAAGCAUCUUGAUAUUGUAAUCCACAAGUGCACGUGAGCAAGUAUAUCACAUUUUUAGUAUUUCUAUAUGUAUUUAAAAUUAUUUUCAUUGUUGGGUACAUCUACAUAACUUGAGAUAAGUAUCUGUCUAAGAUUUUUAGCUCCUCUAAAGACAAUUUUUGUUUUUUCCUCUAUAAAUGGCAUGAUUUCUUGGUUUAAGAUAUGACAGUUUUUAUUCAAAAUCUUUUUUAAAUGUCUUUGAUCCUUACUACAAAUAAAAAUCAGAGGUAUUAUUUAAUUUCUCCUCUUAUACUUUUAGAUUUAUAUACAAGUAGAGAAUCGCUAUCUAAUUCUCACAUUUUUUGGAUUUCUCCAUCUAGCUGGUCUGUAUAAUAACCAUGAUCUAAAAACUGAUUUUUUUAAAAGUUCUGCCUGGUUAUUAAAUGAAUCAAGAUCCGUACAAUUACAUCUUAAACAAAAAAACUAACCUUUAGGGAUGUUAUCCAACCAGGGUUGAAAAUGACAACUCUCUUUGUCGAUGUAACUAUUUACAUCCACUUUUUUGAAGAAAGUGCGUGUGUUAAUUCUGUUAUCUUUUAUAUAAAUUUAUAGGCCUGGAAAGGUAAUGUUUACUCUACUAAUUUAUUGGGUUAAAUUAAUGUUCCACUGAUUUGAAUUUAAAAUAUUUAAGAGUCUAAAACAGAAGCCUCAUCUACCUUCCAUAUUAAAAAGAUUUCAUCAAUAUAUCUCUUAUUGAGGACCAGGUUCACACUCCAGCCAUGGUUGGAGAAAACUAAAUUGUUUUCCCAAUGUGACAUAAAUAAAUAAACAUAGUUGGGUAUAAACCUGGUCCCCAUAUCACUCCCUCUACAUUGUAAAAAAUAAUCCCCCUCGAACCAGAAGAAAUUAUUCCCAAGGAUAAAAAGAAUUCCCUCCAUAAUAAAAUCCACCUGUUCCACAGGGUACAACGCUGAGGUUUCCAGAAAAAAACAUGUAGAAUCACAUCCUAACAGGUGAUCUAUACAUGUAUAGAGGCGAGUUACAUCGCAGGUGACAAGUAAAAAGUCAUUCUCCCGUUUAAAAUCUAUAAGUGUUUGUAGUAAGCUCAUGGAGUCCUUAAGAUAGGAUGGCCUCGUCUUUACUAUUGGAUGAAGGUGUGUAUCUACAUAUUUAGAUAAAUUAGAAAGAAGGGAUCCGACUCAAGAGACUAUAGGUCUCCCUGGAGGGGUUAAGUGCAUCUUUAUGUAGUUUUGCUAGUACAUAUAUAACGGGUAUUUUUGGGAAUCUAACAUUAAGAAAGGAAUAUUUUGACUGAGUCAGAAUUACCUUGACUAACCCUCUAUCUAGAUAUUGCAUAUAUUGUUUUUUUAUUUCAUUUUAGGGAUUAUUUUCCAAUUUUUUAUAUGUAUUUAUACGACUUACUUGAUGGUGAAUCUACAUAAUAUAUUUAUCUCUAUCCAUUAGUACAACUCCUCCCCCUUUAUCUGCCGGUUUAAUUAUUAUUUGGGAAUCUUUUCUCAAAUUAUCCAUUGCCAUUUUUUCUAAUCUAGUUAGAUUAUUUAUUUUAUGUGUUUUUAUCUGUUUAAUAUCUUUGAUACACACCCUUUUAAAAAACUUUCAUACAAUUAGAUUUUGAAUGAAUGGGAUAAAAGGAGGAUGGAUGUUUGAGAUUAGUAUGAAUAAAAUAAUUUUUUAUUGUAUUCUGAUUUUCUUUAGUAAUUAAUUUUCUAUUAAACUUUUUUUAUAUCUGUAUAUGCCUCAAAUGUAUCCAUUAUACAACUAGGUGUGAAUUUAAAACCUUAAUUAAAAUACUAGUUUCAGCAGGAUUUCAGUUUUUUUUUUGGCCUUUCUUUUACCUGAGGAAAGGGGGUAGAAUACGAAUUUUUGUUACAAUCAGUUAGAUUUGAUUUUGAUUUUUUUCUGAUUAUUAGUAAAUCUAGGUAUUUUCCCAACAUUUUUAGUGGCAUGAUUAUUCACAUCUCUUUGAUGUUUCUUUUUUUUUUAUUUAGAAUGAUAGAUGUUUCAAGUUUAUCUAAUCUCCACAUAAUUUGGUUGGAUAUAGAUACGAAAUCAUUGGUUCCAAAAAAUGGUUCGAAUUUAUUUUAUAUUUCAUUGAUAAUUUUAUCUAAAGCCUCUAGAUUCCUAGUUCUCUGAUCUACUACAAUUUGCAUCAUCAUGAUAGAGAAUGAUUCAAGAGCUCCUUCCCAUAUUUCAAUAUGUCUUUUAUCAUUUCUAUCAAAAGUGGGAUAUUUUCUGAAUCUCAGACCUCGUGGUGUUAUCUGGACUUUUAAAUCUUUUCCAUCACCUCGAUCCCCUCUUUUUCCAGGUAAGUAUCAAGCGAUAUCAAAUUAGGUAGGUAAAGAAUUUUACUGGAAACUAAAAAUAGGUAUAUAAAAUACAACAGCAAAGCAAGCUGUAAAUAACAACAAAAGAAAGUCCGCUAACGCUAACUCCUGACCCCUAUUGGGUCUUUUUCAAAGUGCAUUUUCCUCUCCACUUGAUGCCGGUUUAUAAACCCUGUAUCCAGGAAAUUGACUUUCACGCCGUCUGGCGCUCUGGGGUCACUUCCGCAUUCGUGCAUCAUUGUGGAGAACCGUCAAGGCGUCAUGGCGUCCUGACGUGAUACGUAAUGACGAAAUCGAGUUGCGAUAUUGGAAGGCCAGAAAACACCAUAAUAGUAUCGGGCGAAUUAGUUUAUAUUAUAAUAGUUCACUUAGAAAUAUAGGCUGGACUGUAAAAGGACGUAAAAAUAGAAGACAAAUAUAUAAAAUUUAACAACAUAAGCUAAAAGCAUUUUACACAGAAAAAACUGUAUAUAAUUUGAAAUAUAUAUGACAUAUUCAAAUUCAUAAUAAAAGGAGACCAGAUGCACAAAGAAAUAUAAUUGGAUCUAAUAUAAAUUGUAUAUAAAAAUUGUAUAUUAAAGCAUAUAUAUAGCAAACAUUAUAUGUAACAACGAUCUAUAAAAUAGAUGUAUAAAAUAUUCAAUAAAUAUAUAUUUUUUUAAAAUGAAAUUAAAAAUGUAUAAUAAAAAACAUAUAAAAAGAGAUAUUCAAAUGAGUGCUGACAUUUCUCCACCGUGGACAUUUAAAAAAUGAAGAGAAACGUGAUUUAAAAAAAACCCUCUCCUUAUAUCAUAAAUAUGCUCACAUACCCUUGUUUUUGUAAGCAUCUUGAUGUCUUACCAACAUAUUGUAAUCCACAAGGGCAUGUGAACAAGUAGAUCACAUUUUUAGAAUGACGUGAUUAAAGUGUAAAUGUUGUACAGUUUUAAUCUGGUCCAGGAUUUAAAAAUCUAUUUUUUUAUUUUUCCAAUUUUUACAUCCCAUGCAGUCAUGACAAAAAUAAAAUCCUUUAUUAGUAUUUCUAUAUGUAUUAAAAAAUAUAUUUUUGGGUACAUCUACAUUACUUGAGAUAAGUAUCUGUCUAAGACUUUUAGCUCCUCUAAGGACAAUUUUUGGUUUUCCCUCUAUAAAUUCAAUGAUUUCUUGACCUUGCUGUAAGCUAUGCCAGUUUUUAUUCAAAAUCUUUUUUGAUUGUCUAUGAUCAAUUGAGUUUUUACCUGCACUGGGUAAGACAAUUAUUAUGGAUUAUUUACAGUACUUAUGUUUACAAUAAAAGCAAUUAUAAUACACUCUAUGCUAUCUUGAUAAGGACCGAGAGGUCGAAAUGUUGAUCUUUUUUUGCCUCCUCCUACUCAUCCCGGCUUUUGGUUGCUACAUUUUCUCUAGUUGCAAGAAUCCCCAAGGACAGGUCUCUCCUCCCCACACAGGCCCUUCUCACCACCUGUAUCGGAACCAGCCAACAUUUUAGCACCACCUGUAUUCCCCAGCUUCCAGGGUCCUGCAUUUGCUCAGCCAAUCAUGAGUCAGCAGAGCCAGGCUAUUACACACAAGGGGGGCAUUCAACCGUUGAAUGGCACUUACACACAUCCUGCUCAUUCUAUUCAGUUUAGCGAACCAAUUCAAUUUGCACAUCAUGCCACUUACUCUUCUAAGUAUUUCUCCACGUUCGCUCAAAUUCGAUCAUUUCAGUUGCAUGAACUCACUGCAAUUCGUUCAAUAACUGUAGACUACCCCCUAGUGGCCGGCUACAGUUUGUUCUCUAUAACAUGUAGAAAUUAUUUUAAAUAUGGGACAUCUCCUGUUAUUAUUGUUCUCUGAUAAUUUCAUGUAAAGUUGCUACCCACAGUUUCGGUCCCACUCAACAGUAUGUCAUUUAUUAAUUGUCUAUGCUCUUACACAGUAUUUUCAAGUAAAGUUAUGCUUGUCUUUAUCCUAAUGCAGUGGAUUAGCCUUUCUAAUUGUCAUUUACUCAUACACCUAGAAUAUUUAGACCAUGCAACUGUAAUUUAUAUUGUAUACUUGUCUUCUCGUGAUAGUUAACCUACUACAACAGCAAAUUGUUCCUCAUCAUUCCGACAAGGGUCUUUAUUUCACCUCCACUUCAUUCAUUCAAUUUAAACCUUCCAUAAUUCCUCCAUAUCAGCGGGUACGUAUUAGUAUGUUUUAUAUUUUUAUCUAGUACACUAUGCUGUACCAUAAACUACUACCUCAACUCCUAAAUACAAACUCCUCUAUUACAACGCCCUCUCAUUUUAUGUUCUGCUUACCACUGCUAUAUUCAUCAUAUGCUGCAAUAUUUUAUCACCCAUUCAUUUGGCCUUCUAUUUCCCAUUCCAUAGAAGCCUUUAGCCUGCAUGAGUGGCAUCAUUACACCUCUAACAGUCUACAUACUUAGUUCACAUUACUUUCAUGUAUAUCAACGGUGGUACUACACUUAAUUCACCAGACCACAGACCUCACGCUCAGGGAUCCUUAACUCCCCUACACUCCUUUCCGCUACAACUACAUUCCUACCUCACUCUCAUAUUCCCUGAUUAAUCUAGUUCAUAUCCACGCAUACGUCUCUUCUCUAAAUGUAGCCAGGCAACCCAUCUAUUCUAAUUUACUAUUUAUGUAUUUAACUAUUUCCAGUUUUAGGUUUUCCUCCCAAAGCUGUCUCCAUUCCAAAGUGCAAGAACGUACAGCAGAAUAUACACAUUCUACCAUAUAUACAGGUAUUAACUGAAUUCACGAGUCCUUUAUAGAUGUACCAGCAUUUACACAGUUUUCAUUAACUUCCUUUAGGAGUUAAGGUCACACAGGUUCUAGAAAAGACAAGGUACCGAUUGACUACCCCUUAUUAUUAUAUGUUAGUUUUAUCUCACAGUAUGUUUAUUUCCCAGUCCGGUUCUGUCUUUUACCUCACAGAUUCUUUUCUUAGAUUCAUCAGUAUGUCAUCCCUCUGACUCCAAGACACAAUUUGCCAAGAAGGAAAGUAUGUGUGGAUAUGAACUAUAUUAAUCAGGGAAUAUGAGAGUGAGGUAGGAAUGUAAUUGUAGCAGAAAGGAGUGAAGGGGAGUUAAGGAUCCCUGAGCGUGAGGUCUGUGGCCUGGUGAAUUAAGUGUAGUACCAGCAUUGAUAUACAUGAAAGUAAUGGACUCCAAGACACAAUUUGCCUUACAGACCAGGUACAUUAUUUUCAACAUGGUACUUAAUGUGUUCAUCCUCUCCCCGACUUACAUAGCGUUAGGUCAACUGGCUUUAAGGUUGUUGGCACUGGCCUUAGUUUAAUUAUAAAGUAAUUAUUCCCGCAAGCCCAACUCCCAUCCUCAAAUGGAAGUAUAUGCCCUUUGGCCCAAUGCAUACUUACUGCCUUGCAUCAACCUCUUCAGAUUACCAAUUAGGUCCUCACCAGUCAUGGCCACUUUGUGGUCAUUGGGAGGCCAAUGUUCCUGCCACAUCAUUCAAUUGCCUCUGUCUAAUGGUCCAAAUUGUAGAAAUAUUAAUGACACUUGGCAUGAAAAAGGCCUCAUCUUCCCUUGGUCCGGAUCAAGCCCCCCACGAGCCAGCAAAGCUUAACUUUACUAUUGUUAGCAAAUUCCUGAACCCCCAAGCCAGGUACCAUCUAUCAAGCUGGAAACAAUGAUAAUCUGUCUGUAAUUAGAAAUAUGAUGUCCACUAUCCUUCCCUCCAAUAACACCAUUAAUGUCCGACUAGAUAAGCUGGAAUCUCCCCACCUACUGACCCCUAGCCCACCCACGGGGCUCCUCACCUGCUCUACUUCUCACAGUAAUGUUAUUAGUUCCAACCCUACAUCUAGCACGCCAACUCAUGUUAUCACUCCUGCUCACUUAGUUUCCCUGAGCAUACGAAGGACAUCCUGGAGGUCAAGGAUGUAAACUUGGUUUCUUUGCUAAUUGUCUCUCAGGAUGUUAUUGAAAACAAAGCUUACUGCUAUGGUGAUCUAUCUGUCAUUUUGAAAGCCAGAGAUCCCAGACUUAACAGGAAACUCACUAUUCCUGAAUUUGUCCUCGUAUUUGGACUUUACUGAGAUGUAAUUGGCUCCACUUCCCCUCACCAUAGGGAAGAACUGGAUCUAUACUUGCAUUAGUUGGUGGACCUGGGGCACAAGUACAGUGGAUUUACUUUCUUUGACUAUCACAAGUCUUUUUCUGUCAAGGCAGCAGCAUCCCUUGCCCAAUUUAACACUCACACAAACUGGAGUCAUCUUGAUACAGAGUUAUUCUGUUGUCAUUUCACUGGUGUUAAACUGCCGUUUUGUGCUGCAUGCGCUUCCAACACCCAUACCACCAAGCUGUGUUCCAUAGAUCCUAGUUUGCCUAACACUAGUCAUACUUCCCUCGGUUCUUCCACUGCUAAACACAGAGGCCUUAAAUACAAAUUGGCCAGGCCUAUAGUGUUUCUGGGCAAAGCUCAAAUCUGCAACAACUUCAACUCUGGCUGUUACGUAUUUAGCUUUUUCGCAAAAGGCACGUGUACUAGGUUGUAUCUUCAGUCCUUACUGGGCAAUGAGAAUCAUUCCACAGGGCUGUGCUUUUAUUUUCCAACUGCUAUGCCUUCUUCCAGUCCUGCCUACUGAUAAUAGUACCAUGUCAUAAGGAUUUCACACCAAAGCUGAACUUACUAUAUGGCUCAACUACCUGUUCAUUCGUCCCCUUUCAGAUGAUUCUUCAGUAAUUUGGACAGAUUCUGCUGCCAACUUGGUUUUUAGUGACUCCUGGUUCCAUGACUCAUGGCCAGUUGAGACCCUUUAUAUACCCUCAUUUAAUACAACCUCACCAUUGUUUGAAGUUUACCAAAUUGUGGCCGCCACCAAGGCCUGGGGAUACCUUUUAAAGGGCAAAGCAUUAAAGUGCUUUUCUGACAAUAAAGAAGCUUGCAACAUCAUUAAUAAAGGUCGAUCCUCAUCUCUCACAAUCAAGAGAAUGAUUAGGAAACUCACAUGGAUUGCAGCUACACUACAAUUUCACAUUGUUUGUAUACACAUUCCUGGCCGCAUUAAUACUGCUGCUGCUGCUUUGUAUUAUUCUCAUUUUCAGGAAUUCUGUAGAGCUCAUCAGCAGCCAACAAAUUCCCUCAUUCCAAUACCUUAUCCUGGAUUGACUCGUCUUAUGGCACAUGGCAAAUUUCUAGUGAGCUCUUCUCUCUCAGCUAAUACUGCACAUUAUUACAAAAGAGCUCUCGGUAUUUUCACCAAAAAUUACUAGAAUUAAUGACCGAGGCUAGGCUAAAGGAUUCUUUUUCCUCACAUCCUUCCCAAAAGAAGAAUUUGCUUUCCUCGAAACAGAUAACAUAAAAAAAUAACUUUGAGGGACCUGCCUGACAACCCAAGCAGACAGUCCAGAUCAUUUAUUUUGCAAGCCUUACAUUUAACCCUAUAACUUUCUAAAACAUCAUAAAACCUGUACUUGGGGGCACUGUUGUACUCGUGAGACUUUGCUGAACAUAAAUAUGAAUGUUUUAAAACUUUACUUUGGCCAGGGUUUGUGACUAAGUGGCUGUUAAAAAGGACUGGACAUAACCCAUUUUGAAUACCUAGGGCUGUCUACUUUGGCAAAUGGUAUGCCAUGCAAUUCUCAUUUCUGGGCUUCCAUACAGUCUCAAAGGCGACAUAGGCCCAAACCGAACUGGCAAACUGAAAUGGGAAAGCACUAUAUUUGACCCUGUUACUUUCCAAAACAAUAUGAAACCUGUACACAUGUCUUACUCGUGAGACAUCACUGAACACAAAUAUAUGUAUUUUAUUGUAAUAAAAGCUAACAAUAUUGUGACAGUCACAGUUAGAAUGUCACGCAGAACUUGAAAAAUGACAUUUCCUAGGUUCUCAAACAAUUUUUAGGUUUUAUUUAUAUAAAAUUAUGCUUCAUAUAUAAAUAUUUGACAUGAAAUGGAGACCAUGUUUCUCCGGAACCAUAAUUUAACUCAUUAUAUUAAGUGCACCCACACUUAUUAUGUAUCAUUUUGUUCAGGAGAAACUGGACUUUCAUUGCAUCAAAUAUUUAUAUUUGAAGCAUAAUUUAAUAUGAAUAAAAUUAAAAUAACCUUUUCAAGUUCUGCAUGGCAUUUUACCUGUGAAUGUCAUACUACUGUUAAUUUUUGCUGCAAUAAAAUACACAUAUUUGUUUUCAGCAAUGACUUACGAGUAAAACAGUACCCCCAUGUACAGGUUUUAUGAAGUAUUGGAAAGUUACAGGGUAAAAUAUAGGGCAUUCCCCUUUUUCAUUUUUACACAUUGAAAUUUGCAAGAUUGGUUUACUGGAUAUAUCCUCUUUUGAGAUCGUAUGGCUGCCCAUAAACGAAAAUGAACCCCAUCGUGGCAUACCAUUUGCAAAUGUAGACAACCCAGGGUAUUCAAAAUAAGGUAUGUAUAGUGUUUUUUUAGUAGUUAAUUAGUCACAAACCUUGGCCAAAGUUAUCGUUCAUUUUUGUUUUUUGCCUUUUUCACAAAAAAACAGCAUAUUCAUUGAUUAUAUUAUCGUCAUUAUUCUACUGCUCUAAAACACUCAUAUUUGUGUUCAAUGAUGUCUGAUGAGUAAAACAGUACCCCGCAUGUACAGGUUUUAUGGGGUUUUGGAAAGUUACAGGGUCAUAUAUAGGGCUUGCCUAUUUCAUUUUUUACACAUUGAAAUUUGCCACAUUGGUUAUGGUGCCUUUGAGACUGUAUGGCAGCCCAGGAAUGAGAAAUACCUCUGUCAUGGCAGACCAUUUGUAAAAGUAGAGAACCCAAGGUAUUCAAAAUGGGGUAUGUCUAGAGUUGAGCGAACCCGUACUGUAAAGUUCGGGUUCGUACCAAACAUUAGGUUUUUGGACCCCAGACCCGAACACGAACAUAUCACUGUAUGUUCGGGUUGGAGUACAGUGUUCGGCGAUUUAAUGGCUGUGAUUGGCCAGUGCAGCAUGUGACCCAGCCUCUAUAUAUAAGCUGGAGUCGCGUAGCGCCGCACGCACAUACGGUCUUAUUAAUGUAGGGAGAGGAUGCUGCCUCUGAUAGGGUCAGCUUAGGAAAGAAUUCUGCAAACUAAUAUAUUAGUGGGGUGGGGUGCACUUCAUAUCCGAGAGUCAAAUAGAAGCUUCAAAUACCGCGGUUACAUCAGUGUUUUAAAAAGUCAAUUUUUUUGGUGCUAAAUAGUACAUUAGAGGGGUGCACUUCAUAUCUGAGAGUCAAAUAGGAUCGUCAAAUACUGCUAUCACAUUGCAGUUUUAAAACUUAAAAUUUUUUGGGUGCUAAAAAGUACAUUAAUGGGGUGCACUUCAUAUCUGAGAGUCAAAUAGAAGCAUCAAAUACUGCUGUCACAUUGCAGUUUUAAAACUUAAAAUGUUUUGGGUGCUAAAUAGUAUUUUAGUGGGGUGCACUUCAUAUCUGAGAGUCAAAUAGAAGCGUCAAAUACUGCUGUCACAUUGCAGUUUUAAAACUUAAAAUGUUUUGGGUGCUAAAUAGUAUUUUAGUGGGGUGCACUUCAUAUCUGAGAGUCAAAUAGAAGCGUCAAAUACUGCUGUCACAUUGCAGUUUUAAAACUUAAAAUGUUUUGGGUGCUAAAUAGUAUUUUAGUGGGGUGCACUUCAUAUCUGAGAGUCAAAUAGAAGCAUCUAAUAGUGUGCUUACAGCGCAGUGGUAAAAAUUCCUACUUUCUAGGUGUUAAUAUGCUAAAUAGUACAUUUUGUGGCCUGUUCUUAAUAUCUGAGAGUCAAACAGAAGCGUCUAAUAGUGUGCUUACAGCACAGUUGUAAACAUUCUAAUUGUUUUGCUGCUAAUCUGCUCAAUAGUACAUUUUGGGGCCUGCGGUGCACUUCAUAUCUGAGAGUCAAAUAAGCGUCUAAUAGUGUGCUUGCAGCGCAGUGGUAAACAUUCUUGUUUUCUGGGUGUUAAUCUGCAUUUCUCCAUGCCUUACCCGUGGUCACCAUGGUUGGUGCAGAAACUGGCAUUGAAAGUUGAUAUAAAUGACAUCCGCAUGCAAAGUCGCCGCCAGGGAUGUGCGAUUGGCCGAGUUCACCACAGGCGCCAAAUGGUUCUUUUUUGUAUGUCCCAAUAUUUUGUGGGCUACUACAAUUAAAAAAAAAAAAAAACAUAAAAAACAGUGUUGGCUACCUCCUCCUCCACCGCCGCUUCCACCUACACCACCUCCUCAACCUCUGGGUCACUUAGUAUAAACUAUGUACACAAUAGCAGAGGCUUGUAAAGGCCUUUCCUCCAUGCAUCAGGAGUUGAGCUCAGUUUGAACAAUGAAAAAGAAUACCCUGGGGGCGUGGCUUGGACGCGGGAGUGAAUGGCCGCAUGAACGCAGAGCUCCGCUCGAGACUGGCCUGAAUAACUAGAAUCCCGGCAAUUUUACAGACAUGGCGACCAAAAGACUGAAGGCACAAGCAGGCAACACUCCCUCCUCUAACCUCUCAUCCUCCAAAACGUCCCUGAGGAGAUUCUUCGCGGAGAAACAGGAGAUAGACAUGCGGUCCAAAAUGGCCGCGGCUGAGAAAUCUCCCGCGAGCAGCGCUCCUGCCAGCCCUGCUCCCUCAGACAGCUCCACAGAGGGAACAGAUAUAAAAACUAUUCUGACCCAGCUGCAUUCCAAACUGGACCUCGAAGCCAUGUUCUCCAAAAUGGAAAGGAGCUUUGGCGACAAGCUGCAAUCUCUACAUGAGGAGGUAAGCCACAUUGGCAAUAGAGUGCAAAUGCUGGAAGAGGGGGGGGGGAACAACAGCCCUGCAAAUACACAACAUGCAAACUCUCCAGCAAACCCAGAAUGAAGCCCUAAUAUUCCUACAAAGGAAAAUAGAGGACCUUGACAAUAGGGGGAGGCGCAAUAACCUCAGAAUUAGAGGCAUCCCUGAGGCCCCUGAAGGAACAAAUGAAAAUAUAACACAAAUCCUCACAAAUCUUUUUAAUCAGCUUCUGGGCAGACCGCUAGACAUCCCCAUCAAGUUGGAUCGCGCUCACAGAGCAAUACGGCCGAAAGCGUUGGCGAUUGUGAGACACCAAGGGACAUCAUUUGCAGGCUCCAUCAUUUUCCCAUUAAAGAGAUGAUUCUUCAAAAAGCCAAGCAAAUCAGAGACAUUGCAUUUACCGACUACAAAGUGCAGAUAUUCCAGGACCUGGCGCAAUCCAGACUUAUAGCGAGAAGAGCAGUGCGCCCGAUCACAAAAGCACUCUCGGACCGCAACAUAUGGUUCCGCUGGGCACACCCCUUUGCCUUGGUGGUGAAUCGCCAAGGGAAGACACACUCAAUAUCUACUCCAGUGGAUGUCUUGACGUUCCGACGCGGUGGAAGAUUGGACUGGUCUCUACAUGGAACAGGACGGGCAACUACCCCAGAGGGCCAAAUGGCAACACAGCCCCAGGAAGCGAGGGAGACAGACCCCCUCGGGAAAUUAACUGCCCUCGACACCAAAAGGCACUGCCACGAGACCGACCUAAAAGACUCGAUAUAUCCUUUCACUCUGAUAAAAUUGCUUAAGUCACAGAGGCGCUUGCCACAACUAACGCCUAGUUAAUGCCAUGUUCAUAUAUAUACAUGUUCCUAUAUAUCUACUGUUUAAUGUGUAACCUACUGCCAAAGUUCCACGUGGCUGGGGCCCAGACAACCAGAGGGCAUCCAGGACCCUGGACACGCUGGAACUGGGACUCGAUCAAUACAUAUGUCAUGAUAAGAUAUAAGCGAUGUUAAUAUAAGCUAAUGCAAGAUUGCUAAUGAUACCUGAAUUAUGUAUAUCACACGCGCAGAUGGCCUAGAGUCUCGACGGGUCUAGACCACACAACCCCCCAAGAGGUGCCACAAAGAGCACGCGGGAUCCAUAUGAUCCACAGCAGGCUUGACACCAUCUGGUUGCAGCAUGCACGCUGCAUACACACUGUCUAUAGUUUCUCUGGUUUAUGUUUCUUCCCCAAACCCCUCCCCCCCAUUGAGUAUAGGUCCUCAUCACAUCAUUUAAGCCUGAGAAGCUUCCACCCGUGGCUGUUUUAUGAUGGAUAAUCUUAAACUCAUGUCCCUGAAUGUAAGGGGACUUAACACGCCCGAAAAACGCAUAAUCCUAGCGCAUGAACUAGACAGACAGCAGAUGGAUAUAGUAUUCCUCCAGGAAACCCAUUUUAGAGGAGAUCAGACCCCCUUAUUAAAAACUAAAUCGAUGGGACAAUCGUACUUUAGCAAUUAUCAUGGAGGCAAAUCUAGAGGGGUCGCUAUUCUACUAUCAUCCAGAAGAGCAUUCAUGCUCCAAGACAGCAAACUAGACCCACAGGGAAGGUAUAUUUUCCUCAAAGGCAAGAUCAACAAUACCCUCAUUACCCUAGUGAAUGUUUAUGCGCCCAACAACAGACAGGUCCCAUUCAUCAAAUCAUGCCUCAGAAAACUAGAGAACUUUGCAGAGGGGUUAGUGGUGUUAGGGGGUGACUGGAACAUAGUCUUAGAUCACUCAAUGGACAGCACUGCAACAGGUAAAGACACAUUAGCACACCAACGUCUGCUAUUCCAAAAAGCGCUGCAUGCUAACCAACUAGUCGACUGCUGGAGGAUUGCCCAUCUCCAGCAAAGGGAUUACACAUACUUCUCCCAGGUAGCCCAUAGUUAUUCUAGACUGGAUAUGUUCUUGAUAGGACACAAGCACCUGCACGCAUUAGCCUCCUUGUCCUUGGGACCGAUCACAUGGUCGGACCAUGCCCCAAUAUUCCUUACGUUGUCUCUAGACGAGAAGAGUGCCGUAAGCAACUCGUGGCGCUUAAAUGAAUCACUACUAGAUGAACCCAGGGUAACAGAAGACCUGACCAACGAAUUGCCCAGGUACUUUCACGAAAAUGAAGGUAAAGGCACAGCAGAAACAUGGGUAUGGGAAGCACACAAAGGUAUAACCCGAGGGACCCUGAUUAAGUGGGGAGUUUGCAUAAAACAGGAAUGAGUGGCACGAAUCCGAUCCCUAACUGAAGCCAUAUCCAUAGAAGAAUCUGCCCACAAGGCUACCCCCACACCCGACGCAUACAAAACAUUAACAGCAUUGAGAAUGGAACUGCGAAACCUCCUUACAGCGAAAGCCCAUAGGGCAGCCCAGCUGACUAAGGGGACGUACUAUGCUCACGGCAAUAAAAGUGGGAAAUAUCUGUCCAGGGCUCUAAAGGACAAACACCAAAAGACAUACAUUUCCCACAUCACCACGAAAGGUGGAAUACGCCAAGACGCGACAGAGGACAUAGCCAAAACCUUUCAAGACUACUGCAGCGACCUCUACAACUUGGGACACCCACUGAACUCACAACAUAAUACGGCAGCAUACAUCUCGGCCCACACUCACAAGAAACUAGACCCACAACAAACAGCCCACUUAGAAUCACCUAUCCAACCUGAGGAACUCCGGAUAGCAAUACAGACCCUCCAUAAAGGCAAAAGCCCAGGUCCAGAUGGCCUUACGGCCAGAUGCUAUCAGGCCUUCCAUACCUCAUUCCCUCAUUUCUCUUCUGUACCCCCAUUUUUAUGACAAAAACCAAUAAAACUGGAAUUAAACAAGAAAAAGAAUACCCUGCACUCCAACCCUCUCUCAAAUGGAUAAUUCUGUUGAUCCUCCUGACAGCCAUGCUUUAGAUUUUGAUUUAUGUUCUUCCAAAGCUAAAAUCAAAGAUUCCAUCUAGUGCUAUUUUAUGGCUCAGCUGUAUUUUUAAUUUGUAUGUUAUUUUUAGUGAAUUCCCUAUCCACAUUUGUUUGCAGGGCAGUUGUCCAACUCUUACCUGCUUUUUCCUUGCUUUUGCAGCUCUCUAGCUCUUUCCAGGAGUUUUUUAGAGGCAUUUUUGUGGCCAAAAGUUUGGGUCCCCACUGGCUUCAAUGGAGUUCAGGUUCGGAGUCAAGGUCGGGGUCAAGUUCGAGCCCGAACCCGCCGGACCCGAACAUCCAGGUGUCCGCUCAACUCUAGGUAUGUCCAGUCUUUUUUAGUAGCCACUUAGUCACAGGGUUUGGGAAGCAAAAACUUACCAUAACAGGUUAAAAGUCCCCAACACUUUAUGUUGCAUUUGUGGAAUGUCAAGAAAAGAUAUCUUUUGUAUCUCCACAUUGUCAGAUAACCUGUCCAAAGUGCUGUAAUAAAUCAUUCUGACUGUUUCUGCCCACGUGCUGCCCUCACACAGGGUCUGCUUCUCCAUCCAUCCUUCCCCUUGCAGGCCUUGCUUUAGGUUAUACUGAAAUCACACAGGAGAGUUGCCCAGUGUUAGGUUUGCCUAACUAGCGACAUGCAGAGAGCAUCCUUCUUAUCUCUGUGCAAAUUGGCACAGAAUUAACCAACUGACAUGAGGGCAUAAGGUAUUUUUGUUAAUGUCUGAUUUCAGAAAAAUCUCAACAUUUGUUACCAAGCGACUCGCACAAUGUAUAGAUGGAAUUUGAUUCUCAUUUAAGAAGUUGUAUUUUGUCAUGACAAACAGAAUACAAUAAUUGUUUUAUGUAUAUAUCACAUGGAAUAAAAUGGCAAGAAGAAACCACAGCAUAAUUUAUUUGUUUCCAAAUACAAGCUAUAAUAAAAAGAUUUCCCAGGAUUUUCUACUUUGCCCUAUAAAUUUAAAGUCCACUCAUACAUUUUAACUCUGCUUAUUUAACUUCUAUUUAAAUGUGCAAAUAACAUGAAUUUCAUUAUUGUAUGUUCCUUUUUAUAAAUUCUGUUACGGUACCCUCAGCAUGAAAUGUACAAACCGCCAUUUAGUAAAUGCUCCCCUUUCGCAAUAACAUAGGCUGCAUGCGUAUCCAGUAUAAUCAUGCGAACCGCAAGCAAGGGAACACUGCAAACUCACGAACGGGAUCCGUACGGCACUUCACUCCACGAGCUCCAAACUCAUGAAUCGCCAAUAUUAGCAGAACGCAGCUAUCUCCCAAGCGGCUAAUAAUCCCAUCCAGCAGUCUCUAGUCGUCGGUAAUAAAUCCCCCUAAUAACGAGACCAAGCUCCGCAUUGGGGGUAAAACAAGAACUGGCUUUACUGUGGGCUAUCUGCCCAUAUUUAUGCAGAUCUCCCACCUGGUGGACACUCCCCUAGGGGACCACAUGGGAGACUGUGACAAUAGACAGACAUAUGGCAGUUCAGGACCCACAGACACAAAAUAUUCCCAGCAUGCAGUAAUAAUUCCUCCCCUCUGCCCUGGAGAUAAUUGAGAAGUAAUUCAAUUAUCUCCAGGACAGAAGCAAAUCACCAUUUUAAAUUCAACACAGAAAAACAUAUAAAAAUAUAUAACUUUACAUUUGUCGAAUGUUACCCAUUCGUAUCACAUAUCCCCAGACAGCCUGGAUCUGAGUGCACAUUAUUGGCGAAUAGCGCUCAGAUCCCAUAUUCACAGUUCAAUCGCCAUGGAGUCAAAGUCUAUUACAGUCUUUAGGUAUGUGAUUGACUCCAUGGGAAGGCUAUCUGGGGUAAGUCCAUUCGUGCAUUUAAACCUCCCGAAUGGCCCGUGUUCGCACACUUCUGUCGAUUGAGAAGGGAGGUCGGCGGCUUCAGCGGUGUUUGGCUGAAAAAGUGUCAGUUUUCAGUUCCAUGAAAUCAAUGCCGAACACCGCUGGUCUUUCGCAUGGUUUAAAAUGGCCGCCGCCUCGUGGUCGACAUACGAACGACGACCACCCUGUAUUCGGUUUUAAUUGAGAAGUGUCUGUGGUUAACCGCAGCAUUCUAACUGGAAUCAAUAGGUUAACCAGCAGCACACUUCUCUUCUGGGUGGCCGUCCGUUCGGUAGUUUUGUUCGGCGGAAAAGUUAAUUCACGGAACAGGGGCAUACGAAUGGGUAAUUUCGUGAAAAGGCAAAACAGACGAAUCCAGCAAUCUUAGUCUAUACAGAUGGAUCUGUCACACAUUCCCUAAAAUUAUAUGUUGCCAAACAAACCAAUUUGCUGAAUUCAAACACAUCUUAACCCUCACAAGGCUAAGAGAUUUUUUAAAUUGUUAUUUUAGUUGGCACUAUUAAGUAUAAAAUUAAAUCUUUGAGUUUUUGGAGAUUCAUUGAAAGAAUUACUAUAAGCAGAGAAUCCAUCCCCUCUGCCCCCAAUUUCCUUUACAAAAUUUGUAUUAGCCUAUACUAAACAUGUACUAUACAAUUUAUAUGCAUGAAUUUUUAUACCAUUUGCAAUUCAUGACUUAAAUUGUCAGUGUAGUCAACUUUAGAAAUCAAUAUUAAUAAAAUACUUCAUAACAUUUGUCACUCAGAUUUUUACACAUUUUUUAAGGCUAAAAUAGUAAUUAGAUUAAUGAUUUUCAUCAGCUAGACUUUUAUUUCUAAUUUAUUUACAUUGCACAUUGUUGAAUUAGAAAUGUAUAAUCACAUCAUGAAUAAAACACAUAUCAAAGAAUAAAAUAUUGAGAAGUAAAAGUUAAAUUAUAAUAUGUUUCAUUUUUAGUUUGACAUUACCUUGCCACAUUUCAUUCUCUGCAAGAAUCGGUUACUUUAUAAUGUAUCUACACUUCAUGUAUUAGACAUAUCUGAAAUAUAAGCUGAAAAAUAUGAUUAAAUGACUGCUAUCUUCAGUGAUCAAAAACCCCAAGGGCCUAUUAAAUUGAUGAAGUUAAAAACGACAACCCUAAGUGCGAGAUGUUAGAAAAAAUUGUUACGCUGUUGACUAAAGUAGACAGAGUUACUUACAGGGAAGGCUAAUCCAUUCGACCUGCCAAGGCUGUGUUUCACAUUUGAUUAAAAACAUGCCAGUCUGCUCACAUAGAAAAAGCAUGCUACACAACAAAAUAGACCCACUUUCCAGUGAGUGUUUUCUGCGAACCUGUUGGGGCUUGGCAGUAACAUUAAUCUUUUCUUUUCCCCUCAACAGUAAAUCAACAGCAAGGAAAACAUUCUCUUUUCGAAAACCCAGGGGGAGAUAUCCCUGCUGAGGCAAAAUAAAAGAGCUGUGCAUAGGAAAUAGCAUGCUGGCUGAUACGUGUUCAUCUGUGGCAUUUUUACAGAAGGGCAAGAGAAUAGUCGGCUGAGCACCAUUCACUUUUUAUUAUAAAUAUAGAAAAUCAUAUAUAAACUCAAUUCCUAAAGAUAUAUUAAAUAUUUGAGAUGACAAAAUUGUAUAAUUAAAUAAAAAAUUAUAUUUUUUUGUUUAUUCGUGAUAAAUUUUGAUGCAAAGAAUAACUUAUUUUUGCUUUUAGCCAGCCAUGUUAGUGUGGGGUGAACUUGUGUAACUAUAUUGAUCCUAUUUGUUUUUUAAUCUUGUGGCUAUGAGUCUAUUUUAUAAUAUAUAUAAAACAUAAAACAGGGGAAAAUAGCAGGAAGAAACCACACCAGAAUUUAUGUGUUUCCAAAAACAUUCUACAAUAAAAAGAUAGAAUUUCUCAGAAUUUUCUACUUUGCCCUAUAUGUAACCUGUAGAGAAUGAAAAACAAUAUCACUAAAUAUCUCUAAUGCCUUAAGCAUUUGUGUACAGUUUUACUCUAUAUUAUACCAUCCCCACAAAACCUUUAUCUUUUAUAAACAGACAGCUAUGGAGACAUAUACAGCCGAAUAAGACUUGGAAAUGUGUGGAUUUUAAGAUUCUGGCUUUUGAAGAGAAUUUCCUUUCCAACAAAUGAUUUGCCAGCAGUAUUCGUUUGAAGGGGAAUUUGACAUGUUUUCUGUUAGAUAUUCUGUUAGGUGCCAUAUCCAACUGACUUCUUGCUUUUCCAAUUUCGUAACCAUGUACUAAGAGCGUUCUACUUGUAUUUGUUAUUGAAAAUGGCGAUACUGCUUCAUUAUUAAUUUUUAUUAUUAUUAUAUUAAUGCAGUCUCUGAAGCAGGGGAGUCUGGCUUUAUUCCUUUGUCAGAAACUUUAAAUCAUAUUCUAGAUGAAUUAUCUAACAAUGUUCUAGAUAAUACAAUUAAACUGUAUUCUAUAUUAUGCAAAACAAUAUUGUAUAUGAGAGAGGCUACAUAUUAGCAUUUUUAAAUAUGGUUUAAAGGAACACUAUGGUGUUAGGAAUACAAACGUAUUCCUAACUCUAUAGUGCUGGAAUACAUGCUUAGGUCCUCAUACCCCUCUCUGUUUAGACAAAAGGUUUUUUACUUACCGUUUUUCCACUGCUGUGCCGGUCUCACAGCGACUGGCCCGCCUUCAUGGCUGAGAUCAUCAGACUUGAUGACCUCAGCCAAUCCAAUAUUCUCCCAUAGGAAACACAUAUGGUGUUCAGAAUUUUUGGAAGGAGGUAUGUAAUGGAUCUCCCUGUACCUCUGGCUUUGUACCUCCAGCAAGACCACUUCCUAGCUGGAACAGGGGACACACUGCAGCACCUAUGUCCCCAGUCGCCGUGGCUUGACUCGGGUCCUGGAACUGCUCCCUCCUGGAGCCAAAUGGGGGAACUCGCUCUAGCAACCCCCAGGCACUGGACGGCACUCCAUCCUGGGAGCUCUAGUCCUUACAAGGACUAGGAUUGACAAGCUCCCGGAUGUUCUCUGGUUCGUGCGGCUGUUUGGUUCCCAAACCAUAUAGUCCAAAUACACAAACUGAGACUUUUUCAUUGUAUAUUACAGGGCCCAUAGUCUGUGGGCAGGAGGCUGGCAAGCAGGCUCCUCCAGGAGCUCGAAGCAAACUCACGUGAAGCCAUCUGUGCUUGAUGGGCAGAGGCCAGCGGCUCUCUGCCCUGUAGCCAGCACUUCAGCUUGCGUGGCCUGUUUGUCGCCAGGCCCUGGAACUAAUGGGCUGGUAGGGCAGAGGCGAGCUGAGCUCUGCCCUGAUGACAGCUCUUCUGCUGGAGGGAUGUCAGUAGAUGCCGUAGUUCCCUCCACUGCACCCGGAACAGGGUUGGGAAUUGGUUGUAGGAGAGAGGAAUCAACUACCCCAUGUCCCUGGCAUGCCCGCUGUGGCUGGGGAGGGAUGACACCCUCUUCUCCCAGGUUCUUACCCUGUUCUUGGGGAAGACUGCUGAUAACAGCCUCAUCUUGGCCGAGAUUCUGCAGUUGGGGAUCUGGGCAGGCUGUCUUAAACUACAGUGUUGUAGAACUGGAAGUCCAGCGGUGUUCAGGAGUUUCUGUGUCCGUUUUCAGUUCCAAGAACUCAACAACCAAACACUGCUGCCUGCAUUCAUGGGAACAAGAUGGCCGCCACCUCAUGAUCGUCUAUAGGUGUGGCGAAACCGACCUCACCACUGGGCAUUGGAGAAGACUGAUUGCCAGCCUCCUGCCAUGUGACUAUGGCCCCUGGGAUGUAUUGCCCUUUAAAGACAUGAUUUGGGCAUAAUGGAUUUUUGUUGUGCUGCUGCUGGCCCUUUAAGAACCAUCUGGGGACAUACUGUGGAGUUACUGGGUGGCCACCAUUUCCUGUAUCAGAGGCACAUGGUGAGAACAAUGGAUGAAGCAUAUGGUGAGAACAAUGGAUGGCGGCCAUUUUAACUCACAGACACUGUUUGGACUUUUCAACACGGUGCCAUCUCACCAGUAUUUGGUGCACAGAGACAUCGUGCAGUGGUUUUGGACUAUACAGCAGGGGACACAUUAUACAGUGAUUGUUUUUCAUUUAGCCUGUAUAUGUUCUGGAGAAUCUGCAUUAAACUGUAUCUUCCAAAGUACUGAACGGAUCUGGGUGAAUUUUGGAUAUGUGGUUCACCCAGAUCCUCCGGUUCCAAGGAUAUAUUAUGGGGUUAUUGCAUGUUUUGGGGUCCCUGUGAUGUGUUUUAUGAAACUGUAUUUCUCUGUCUGUGAUAAUUAGAUUACCCAUUGUGCAAGGAAAUUGUAUUACAGGCAGAGGGGAGGACUUUGUGUGGGAGUGUCUGUGUGUAUUGUACAGAUUGAUUGGUUGCUCUGUAAAACCCUGUGGGCAGUACUAAGUUUGUGGAUUGGGAAUAAAUGAGGCUGUAUGUGCCAGUACAGUCAGUUCCUGCUUAACCCUCAAAGUGAAGUGUCGUCUCAUUAUUGGGGGAGGAUUUAUUGUAUGCUGUUCCAGUUUGACUGCUAGGAGUGUAAACAUAUUCGCAUGGUUUUUCCUAUUCAAAAAAUACAACAUUCAUAUGCUUGAGAGCAUUCAUAUGCUCCUACAGUUCGGUGGUUUUGGUGUCUGCUGCAGUGCUUGGAGUCCUCAGGAAGUGCUAGGAGCAUUCCUCAACGGAGGUACCCAUUCAGGGUGCCAAGUAAUCCGUUACAAUAGGAAAUAUGGUCACCCAGAUGAACACUGCAGUAGAAAUUGCUGCAAAGUGGUCUCAGGUUCGUGUGGCUGUUCGAUUCCCAUACCAUAUAGUCCAAAUACACGAACAGAGACUUUUACAUUGCAUAUUACAGGGUCCAUAGUUUGUAGGCAGCAGGCAGGCAAGCAGGCUCGUCCAGGAGCUCGUGGCAAACUCACGUGAGAAGGGGAGUUUGUCACAAGGUCUAUAAAAUUAUUUGUUGAACGGUAGACAACCCAUCCCCUUUUAGACCUGUGGCAUUACAUUUGCAUCACACUGCUUUACCAUUUAAGACAUAUAAGAGUUUGCUUGAUUAAUGCUUGCUUGAUUAUUUCUGCCAAAGCAACAAUACUGUAUAUAGCCGAGCCACUCCAUCUCUUCUGGUCUGCUAUGGUGUAGGAGAUUAGACAAUUUGAAAGCGUGUGAUUCUAGUACAAACACAGCACUAUACUAGAAUCAAGCUUUACUGGGUAGAUUAUAUGUUUUCCCUGAUGCACAGGCUCUUUUAACUAAGCAGAGGAGACAUUCAUUUUCCUUUUUCUUCCUUACCUUUUCUCUUUCUUGUACCCCAAUCUGGGGUCCUGUUACACCCCCAUUUUUGUCUUCUUACACAUGGACCGCAUAAUGGAUAUUUAAGCUCUACAGUGCUUUAAUACACCUAAUCAACAGCUACUCACUUACUGUAUAUAAUAUCAUAUUACAUAUUUUUUUUCAUUUUAUAUAUCAUUGCUUCUGGAUCCUAUGCUCUUAUCGCUAAAACUCCAGAAAUGUGUUACUGCUCAUGACCAUUUGCAUAUCGAUCUGCUAUUUCAUGGAUGCUGUCUUCUUUUUCCAUUUUAUUCUCUCAAUAAACUUGGAUUUAUAAACAAAAAUGUAGCGUCAAACAACAAAGGUGUUAUACAUGACUGUCAUUAAUGAAUGUCCAUGGCAAAAAAAUAUCCAUUAAUGAAUCAAGGCCAUUUAAAGGACCACUAUAAUGCCAGGAAAACAUACUCAUUUUCCUGGCACUAUAGUGCCCUGAGGGUGCCCCCACCCUCAGGGUCCCCCUCCCGCCCCGGCUCUGGGGAGAGGAAAGGGUUAAAACGUACCUUUUUCCCAGCGCUGGAUGGGGAGCUCUCCUCCUCCUCUCCGCCUCCUCUCCGCCUCCUCUCCGCCUCCUCUCCUCCCCUUCGGCUGAAUGCGCACGUGCGGCACGAGCUGCGCGCGCAUUCAGCCAGUCUCAUAGGAAAGCAUUUACAAUGCUUUCCUAUGGACGCUUGCGUGUUCUCACUGUGAUUUUCACAGUGAGAAGCACGCAAGCGCCUCUAGCGGCUGUCAAUGAGACAGCCACUAGAGGAUUUGGAAGCUGGAUUAACCCUAUUAUAAACAUAGUAGUUUCUCUGAAACUGCUAUGUUUAUUAAAAAAAGGGUUAACCUUACCUGGACCAGGCACCCAGAGCACUUCAUUAAGCUGAAGUGGUCCUGGUGCCUAGAGUGGUCCUUUGACAAAUCAAAGAAUUUGCUGCAUCAAAUCAAGUACUCUUCCAAGAUGACAUUUUAUUAGGGAUCAAUUGUUUCCUUUAUUCAUUGCUUUUCUUCAAUAAUUUUUUUUUGUUGCCUGUGAUAAAUAUUUUGGCAAGUUAAGUUUGAUUCAAAUUUGUAAAAGAAUUAGCUUUUUAUCCUUCAUUUUGCAAUUUGGUUUUCAGUUCAAUAAAAUUUGGUGAUAGUAAAUUAGCUGUCAAAUUCCACAAAAAAAGAUUCAAAUAAUUGCAAAUAUGCAUAAAACAUUAAAACAAGGCAUAGUAAAUUAAGGACAAACCCUAUCCAAUGAUGAUUUCACAUUUUAAGAUUAGUAGCAUAUUUCAAGGAAACUCUAAGCACCAAAACAUCUUUAGCUCCUACCACACGUCCCUGGCUGGCAGUGACUUAACAGCCUCCCUACAUACUUCCCAAAUAAUAGGUCUAAUGUUUAAAUGUCUCUUAUUAUACAGUGUGUUUACUUUAGAAGUUUGGCUUCUGGUCUGUUAAUUGCCAUCUAGAGCUGGCUGCAGCCUCAUAUGUGUGAAUCAAAGUCAAUGCACAGAGCAAGAUAUUACUUCUAACGAAAACACACUGUGCUGUAAGAUCAGUGUGAAAAUGAAAUAUAUCUUUUUUUAUGGCGGUUGUCUGAGAAGAUCUUAAAUUUUUAUUACAUAUGAUGGAAGUCCAUAUCUUCAUGAUGGGGGAUUAGUUUAGGUGGCUAAGCAUGCAUGUUUAUAUAUUAUAUUGCUCAUAAAGUUGUCUUAGAAACUCCUGUACCGCGGACCGGAGAGGAGCUCGGCCAUGGCUACAGGGAAGGGGAGGUGAGGAGGAGAACAAAUAGAGGGGGGGGGGGGGGGAACAAAUAGGGAGGGGAUGAGGGGAGGAGGAGAGAGGGAGGGAGUAGGAGGAAAUAAAAGGGAGGUGAGGAGGAGAAAAAAUAAGGGGGAUGAGUAGGAGAACAAAUAGAGGGGGAGGGGUUGAGGAGGAGAACAAAUAGGGGGGAGGGGAUGUGAGGAAGAGAACAAAUAGAGGAGGAGAACAAAUAGAGAAGGGUGUAUGAGGAGGAGAACAAAUAGAGGGUGGGGUGAGGAGGACAACAAAUAGAGGGGGAGAGGGGUGAGAAGGAGAACAAAUGGAGGGUGAGGAGGAGAACAAACGGGGGUGAGGAGGAGAACAAAUAGAGGGAAGGGGAGGUGAGGAGAACAAAGGGGGAAAGCAGAACAGUGGGGUGCAAGGAGAACAAACUAGGGGGGGUGCAAGGAGAACAAAUUUGGGGGAGUAAGGAGAACACAGGGAGAGGGGGGAGUAAGGAGAACACAUGGAGAGGGGAUGUAAGUAGAACACAGGGAGGGCGGGGAGUAAGGAGAACACAGGGAGAGAGGGGAGUAAGGAGAACACAGGGAGAGGUGAGUAGUAAGGAGAACACAGGGAGAGGGGGGAGUAAAAGAGGAGGUGAGGAGAACACAGGGAGGUUGAUAGGGGGUGAGAAGAGACCGCUAGGGGAGGGGGGUGAGGAGAGACCACUAAGGGGCAGGGGAAAGCUCUAAGGGACGGAAGGGAGAGCUCUUUCACACUACGCACACACGCACACACACACACACACACAAUGCAUCUCUACACACACAUGCAAACACACACUGAUUCUCUUACAUACACACACACACACACACACAAUGCAUCCCUACACACACAUGCAAACACACACUGCUUCUCUUACGUAUACACAGAAACACAAUGCAUCUCUUACACACACUCAAUGCACCUCUUAUACACACACUGCAUCCCUUACAUACACAGAAACACACCUUGCAUCCCUUAUUCAUACAAACACAGAUUCACACAAUGCAUCCCUUACACACAACCAGAAACACACAAUACAUCCCUUAUACACAAAUACACACUGCUUUCUAUCCCUUACACAAAAACACACUGCUUCCACUACACAUAAACAUACUGCACACACAUUAGAUCCUCUACAAUAACACAUAAUACAUCCCCUACACACUCCACUCCUUGUGAGCGAACUCAUGGGUGGAACAUAUAGGUGUACAUAUGGGUGGGCCUUAUGGGCAUACUCACCGUCAGGCCCUUGGGCCAUGACCUUGAGCUGUGUAAGGGGCCCCAAAAAAUGGAGCUGCAUCCUGUUCUCCCAGAACAUUGAAUUUUGCGACCACAGUUACAAACAGCCUCCAGAGAUCCUGUUCUACACCAGACCAGUGGAGUCAAACUGAAGCCAGAGCCCAUCACCAUCCUCAUCUGGUUGUAAGUAGGCAAUCUAGUAUAUUAUUAGUGACACUAAUCUCUAAUUUACCUAACAUUAAAGGGACACUAUAUUCCCCAGAACCACUGCAGCUUAAUGAAGUGGUUCUGGUGUCUAUAGCCUGUCCUGCAGGCUUUUUAAUGUAAACACACACUGGCGUUAGUUCAUAUGGCAGAUCAUAUGGGUGGGGCAAAAAUCCUUGCACCAGCCCUGCUUUAGGCCCUUCUCUAUGCACUUCUGCGGGUCACGGCCUGAUCUAGACAUGAAUACCAGCACUGUGUUAUCAAACUCGGGUGUGAGUGCGACUUUGUCAGGCAGGAGCGAGCGAGGGUAUUCUGCCCUGAGUUUGGCCUGUACUUCUCUCUCCAGCGGCUUGGGAAGCCAAAAGUGCACAAACUGUGCAAGGUGGUCUGGGAUGGACCACUGCGAUAAUCUCUGGUGCCUGAUGGAAUGUGGAUCGAACAAGGGUUCCCCCAGGUCGUCCAGGAAUACUCCCUCCUCCAUGCGCUUAGGCGGUUGGGAGUCCUGCUUUCAUAAGUCGUCCCCUAGCUCCGUUUCCUUCACAUAGCGGGAGUCCAACUGGGGUAAGUCCUGCCAGUUGUCCCCUUUGGAUGCGGACCUCUCCGCCUGCCAUUCAUCCACCACCACCAACAAACAAGAUGGGUAGGAGUCCUCGUCCGAGGAAUAGGUUUGGGGGGUUCUGGUUUUUCGGUUCUCCGGCGUUUGACUGGAGCCUUGCCCUUAAUUUUAGUCGCUGGGGAAACCGCCCCUUUCCAGUGGCAUUUUGGACCACCGGUUACUUGUCUGGUGACCAAUCGUCAGUGGGUUGGGGCAGCACAUUCAUGAGGGCUUUUUCCACUGAGGCGUUGAUCAAUGCCUGGAGAUCUUGUGACGGUGGGGGUGUGUCACUCAUAUUGAUCAAACUAUCCUGUUAGGGAACAGUGACAGUUAGCUGGUUUAUGCUACUUGCAUGAAAUGCACCCCACUUGGUGCCAGGCUCCUGGUACAACUGGGGUACAACUGGGUACAGAAAUGUGUAAUACUGGGUGCUUCUAGGCGACAAACCAGAGACGUUGGUGCCAAUAUGAGAGGGGCUCAUCCUUUAGUGUACGGAAAGGGGUUUCCCUUGCGUGAAAUGGGAGAUGUGGAAGUCUCAAAUACAUAUAGGGGGGAUACUCUCGGUGUGGGAGGUGGCACCACCGAGGGUUUUAUCCACUUUAGAGUUCCCAGUUGAACGUCAGAGUUGUACCUCUGUGGUUAACAAGUCAUGCAACUGUAGACAGUGUUGAUGAAUUGGGCUAUAUAGGUUGAGAAGAAUCCAACCCAUAUAUAACUGGGGCUCACCCCAGAUGGUGUGCAAUGUACAACAGAGGACACCCACAAAUGUGUGUGAGGUGUAAUAGGUAGGUAUCCCCAUGUCCAGAUCGCUGUAAAACUUGGACUGGAAUAAAAAAAAGAUGGCCGCUGUGACCGUCAAAAUUUAGUGCCAGGCAACCCCACCACCCUCCAAAACCCCCAGAUACCGGGUGACCAAAACAAAGUAAGGACACGAUCGCUGCACUCACGGGGCUCGCCGCUCUACAGAGUGAGCUGGAAAACAGGCAAGACACACAAUCCUGAGGUAGGAGACAGUCCACAGAAGGGGGAGUGUAAAGAAAAGUAUAAAAUCGUUUUCGAGAGGGGACAUUGGUAGUAGAGAAAUUACCCAUAGCACCUGUCUUGCAAAGACUUCUCAUUGAGCUGCAUUAGGAAUACUGUAAUUGAAAAGCAACAGAAAGUCUGGGAUGAGGAAAAAGGGGAUGGUGAAAAUGGGGAUGGCUUGCAAAGGCUGCAGACAAAAGAUCUGCAGCUUUUUGCAAGCUGUUUUUAGAUAUACCACAAAAAAAAAAAGCAUAACUAGAAAGAAAUGCAUGUUUUCAUUGAUGGGUAUAUCUACUAAACUUAGAUUUGUUUUACAUUUUUAUUUUGGUAGUGGAGUGUCUCUUUAAUUAUAUUGGGCCAUACAUUUGUUUCAGUAGCAGUGUCAUUAAUAAUUUUACCACCUUUUUGUUUUGGAAAUAGAUUAGUUGAGGAUGUAUUGUGCCUUGGCUAAUUUGAGUCAUCUGCCUUACUCCUAUGCUAAUCCCUACAUGCUGAAACUCUACCAUUCCAAUCUAGGGCAUAUUAAUUUGGAUCAUCAUGCUGUAUAAAGCCUCAGUUAGCUUUCCUGUAGAAUUAUUCCAUUUAGUUUUAUAUACCAAUUAAGAUAUGUUGAUAAAAACAAAGAGCUAAACAUUAACAGUGAUCUGAAAAAGAUUUGUACAUUUUAGUGCCGCUCCCCAAACACUGCAAUUAAAGAUGCAAGCUGUAGGGUCUGAAUGUGUGUGGCCAGAAAGCGCUGCCAUUAGAUGAAUAGGGAAUCAAUUUUUAGUAUCUGUCUAAAAAACUGUCGAAAAGAUUUCAAGACAUGCCUUUUUAUCUGCCCUCUUCAAUUCUUUAAACAGAGCCCAUAUAGUGACACUAACAAUAUGACCUGUUCGGUUCACUGCAGAUUUGUGAGUUACUUUUUUUUAAUUUGGUGGACUAUAAUUUUUUUUCCCUUUCAGGCAUUUGGAUAAUACAUUCCCUUGUCUACAUGGGUUUUGCUGCAUAUUCUUAGAAGUAGUGACAAUCCAGAAAUAUGAAUGCUUUUAUCACACAGUUAAUUGUAUAAUUUUGCCAUCAUUACAUGCAGUCCUAUUCCAGGAAUCAUUAGGUGUUUUGCGAUAGAUUUCUUUCUGACAUUUGGAUUUCAGGUAUCAUCUGCAGGUGGCAAUAAGAAACAAUAUGGUACGCUUUAUCAGUUCAGCUACAGAAACAAAAGCCAAGGUAAUUACUGUCAUUCUGAGCAGCCAGAGACAUUUCAGGCUGCAAUGGGGAUCCUGACAGCUCUGUCUACCUUACUGUGGUUGAUAUCUGUUACAUGGAACAAAGUAGUGCAUUCUCAGGAUCCUUCAGUAGAAUACAUUAAUAAUAGUGCUUGACGUGUAUUUAUGGCCCCAAUACCUGGCAUUUAAGUGUGCUAUCUUUGUUCAGGUUAUUGUAUUAUUUGAAAAGGACAAAUACAAAUAUAAUGCCUUUCCUUCAUUAAUUACAUUAUGCAAGAUCAUUAAUAGUAAAAUUUACAUUCAUAUGGAAGAUUUUAGCCAGUAUGAAUUAUAAUACAAAUAUGAUAAACAUUCUGCCUUCAUUCAACAAAAGAAAAAUAUAGAUUUAAAAGUCAAUAAGAGCAAUCCAAACAGCCACAGAGGAUACAAGCAGGAAAAGAUAAAGGGCUGUUGCGUCAGAUGAUAAUGGCGUUAAAUUCACUAAACGUGGUAUGUGAAGAGCUGGCAAGAAAAGUGGAGAUUUCAGACCUGCAGCAAUACCGGAGUUGGAGAAUGAUCUUUUGGUCUAAAAUUAAAUUCUGCUGUCGUUUAUUUGCAGUGAUUGUAAAAUUCCAUGAAAGGUGUUGUCGGAAAAUUAGCAAAUUAUCUUACAAAAUUGGUGUAAACUGUAUGUGCUCCGUUAACAUCAUCAACAUUAGCAGCACAGUGCUAAAGCCAUCUUCCUUGCUCCCACUGCCAAAUGAAACAAAAAUGUAACCCUUUCAAUGUCACAAAUGCUGAACUGAACCAUAGCACUGACAGGGCUGCAAUAGAUACAGCAUUUAAAGUAAAGGGUUACAAGUCUCUGAGAUACCCAUAAAAGAAGACAAAAAUUCACCCCUAACAAAACAAGCAGUAUCCACAGGACCAUUGCUGAAAUUAGUGGGAAAGAAAAUAACCUCCUCUUGCAUGAGAUAAGGUGACCUUUUCUAUUAACAAUUAAAAUGGGGUCUGCACUUACCUUUUUUACUGUAAGGACUUGGUACAUUGACUCAUGCUCAGUAUAUGAGACGUGAUUUAUAUCAACACUUCUUCUGCCCAUCACUGUGUACAGUAGAAUUGGGAUAUGAAUGGGCUACAGUAAUAAUCAUGAACCACGAUUAUUGUCUGAUUAUAAAAUAUACCAUUUCCUUUCCAAUAUUGCAAGGUAUAGACCCCAGGACUCUGACCAGAAAGACCAAGGAAUGCUAAGUACUAUGUCCGUACAUCCACCCCCGGUAGGGUUUAACGCUGACAAGGUUAAUUAUCAAGGAAAUGUUAAAUAUGGGAGUCAUGGGGAGGUUUAGUAAAGAUUGUCUUUUUUCUUAGGUUUAGAGCAAUUUAGGGUACCUGUAUACUAUUAGCUACUUUUUUAAGGUUUUCUUUUAUGAUGAAGAGCAAAGGGGGAAGAGUCUUACUAACAAAGAGGAGAGCAGCAACCCUAAGAAGGGAAUCCCUCAAAAACCCUAUUAAAACAGAAAAGAACAGAGGAGUUAAGGGCUGCGCUAUAAGAUCAGAGGACUAUGAAAUAAAAACCAAUAAAUUAAAAUGUAUAAUCAACAAAUAAUAAAACCUGGGUAUAAUAAUAGCAAUUUUUAUAUAAUUGUAUCAUUUAUUUUAUUUAUUUAUCUUAUUGUUCCUACUGAGAGCACUAUCUGCUGUUUCAUAUAUUUUGUGGCAAACGACGGAACCCAAGCCGGCCAGACGGACCUAUCCUUCCAGUAUAUCCUCAAGUGAGGAUUAAACUACCAAGCGCCUCUCACACCUGAGCUGGUCCUAGCUUACAUUUAAGCAACGAAAAGGAACUCAAGCCAGACGUACGGACUGACUAUUCCAGUAUAUCCUGAAGUGGGGAUCAUACCACUAAGUGCCCUUUGUGACGAGAUCAAUCUUGCCACAUUGCAUUGGAGAAGCCUGGUUGCUCGCCUGCUACCUUUGGACUAUGGCCCCAUGUUAAAAGACAUCUUUUCACUGCAGAAAAGACUUAUUCGUGCUUUUAUGCCCGGUGUUCGGUAGAUUCUCAGAUUUACUGAAUGAACUCAUAUAACCCAGAUAGGUUUGCCAUGGAGCCUAUUCAUGUAAUAAAAGACUUUGGCGCCAUGGCAAUUGAACUGUAUGUGUUUGUGGUCUAAGCGCCAUUCAGUAUUAAUGUGCGCUCAGACCUAAGCUAUCUGGGCAUAUGUUGCAUGUCUGUAUUUUAUGUCAUAAAUGUAACCUUGUGUAUUUUAUUGUAUUUACUGUCUUUUUGCUGCCAUGUGUUCAAUGGAGUUUUGCCUCUGUCUUUGGAGAUAAUUGGAUUACUUCUAAUUAUCUCCAGGAUAGAAGACUCUGUGGAACUGGUUUUGGGCAGAAAAGCCAUGCUUCCUUUGGUCACAAAGGACUACGAUCUAUCUUUUGAACCACUGGACCAAUUUGUAUGAUUUUGACGUAUGUUUGUAUUUGGAGUAUGUUGAUUCUGAAAAUGUGAAUGUGAUGCAUACUUUUCAAGUUAUGAAUAAUGUGGAAAAUUGUAUUUCUCUGCUUGUGAUAAUUACAUUACCCAUUGUGUAAGGUAAUUGUAUCACAGGCAGAGGGGAGGAUUUUGUGUGGGAGUGUCUGAGUGUAUUGUAUGUGUUUAUUGGUUGUGUUCCAAAACCCUGUGGGUGGUACUAAUGUGUAAGAAUUUGUACAUAAGCACAAUAAACCCACAGCUCUGUCUGUUCACUGCUUGACCCUCAACACGGAGCUUUGUCUCGUUCUUGGGGGGAUUUAUUGUAUGCUGUUCCAGUUCGACUGCUAGGAGUGUAAACCUAUUCGUAUGGUUUUUCCUAUUCGGCUGUUUACAGCAUUCAUAUGGUUUCCUGUUUGGCGGAUUGGUGUUCUGCAGUAGCUGUGCCUGUGUCUCUGGAAGGGGAAGAUCUACUAAACGGCGGUUUAACCCUUUUAUGCCUGGGGGUGCCGUUACAAUUGGUGGCAAGCGGCGGGAUCGUUCCUACAGCCAGAAGGACAGCUACAGGAGACACCAUUUCUUUGGAUUUACAAGUUGGGGGCAACGCAUGUCCCAGUACAGCGACCCUAAAAGCAACAGAAUGGAACCAGCAGUGUUAUACAAGGAGGAGGUCCUGGAUGGCUGGAAUGCAUUAAGGAAAGGCAUCUGGUACCAGGCCCUAGAUAAUGUACAAUACCAGUGGGGUGAGAGUCUCCCCAGUGAAGAGCAGCAGUUGCAGAAGCAAGUGGCCCUGCGGAUGCCCUUCCUGGGAGAGCAGCCCUUGGAGGAAUGGGUGAAGGAACUAAAGCACCGGGUAUGGCAGGCGCUCUGGUGGUAUAUGGCACAGUAUAUACCCUGGACAGCCGAGCAUGACAAGCCAGAGGGAGAGGAGUUUGAUGUUCCUGGCUUGUUAUGGGAGUCCUUUGCAGAGUCUGACUUCGGGAGCCCUGCGCAAAACAGACUUCAGGACAUUUUCUAUGAGAGAGAGGCUAGGCAUGACUGGGAUGACCCCCAUGAGGUAGAGCAAGACCUGGCUCACCUAGCAACCCUGGAGUGGGAACUGGAGCAGGACUACCGAGAUCUCUUCCACUCCAUUGGGAAGGCUCAGCAGGACAGCAAGGUGACAGAUCCAGUUCCAGACCCCUUCAGCUGGGAAGAUAUUGUUGAGAUUUACUGGGAGGAACCCCAGGCGGCAGGUGGAGAUGGGACCGUGGUCUCUCCACCGGCACUACAGGGAUGCCGGAGCGGUCAGCCCAGAUCCCCAGCGGCUGAUUGAUUUGCAGGGAAUAGAGAGCCGUGUAUCCUUUCCCCAGCGGCAGUGUGAAGUGCAGGGAGUGGAGAGCAUCGUCUCCCUCCCCAGCAGCAGUGUUCCUUGCAGGGAGAGGAGAGCAGUGUCCUCCCUCCCCAGCGGCAGAAUGAGCUACAGGGAUGCUGGGCGGUCGGCUCAGAUCCCCAGCGGCAGUGUGAAUUGCAGGGAAUUGGGAGCCCAGUCUCCAUUCCCCAGCGGCAGGCUGAGUUACAGGGGACAGAGAUAGUUGCUGCUGUCCCCCAGCAGCAGAAUGAAUUGCAGGGAAUUGGGAGCCCAGUCUCCAUUCCCCAGCGGCAGUAUGAGUUAUUGGGAAUUGGGAGCCCAGUCUCCAUUCCCCAGUGGGAGAUACAGCAGGGAAUUGGGAGCCCAGUCUCCAUUGCCCAGCGGCAGAGUGUCCUACCGGGAAUAGAGAGCCCAGUCUCCUUUCCCCAGCAGCAGGACUCUGUAUUGGGAGCAGAGACAGUCUGUCUCCCUCCCCUGCGGCUGGAAGUAUGUAUGGGAGAAGAGCUUGUUACCCCCUCUCCCCAGCGGCAGCUUAAUGUACCCGGGGGAGACAGUAAGCCCCACAGCUGUGCAGAUGGGACCGUGGUCUCUGCACUUACAGCACAGGGGGUAGGAACGGUCGGUUCUGCCCCCCCAGCGACAGGGCUGUUUAGCCAAAGGGGAGACAGUCUAUCUCCAGCAGCAGGGCUGUGUGUCUAAAGGGGAGACAGUCAGUCUCCAGCAGCAGGGCUGUGUGUCUAAAGGGGAGACAGUCGGUCUCCCCCUCCAACAACCAGGCUUCAACCAGGCUACCCCUCCAGUAGCGCUGGCACCAGGGCAGAGUACCGCUGGUCUCUGCCCACUCAGCAACCCACCAAGUCAGCAUACCCGUACCCAGCACAGCCGUGGUGAGGCACCUGGACAUGGACAAGCUUCUCCUCUACCCAGGUGUAGUAACCAUUUAUUGUGGGUGGGCUGUGCUGUUGAUUGUGUUUUGUGGGUGGGCUGCUGGACUAACAAGGGCACUGACCGGCAGGAGGUUAGAUACCCUGUUAGUCUGUUUGGAAAAGGGGAGAGAUGUGACGAGAGCAAUCUCGCCACAUUGCAUUGAAGAAGCCUGGUUGCUCGCCUGCUACCUUUGGACUAUGGCCCCAUGUUAAAAGACAUCUUUUUCACUGCAGAAAAUACUUAUUCGUGCUUUUCUGCCCGGUGUUUGGUAGAUUCUCGGAUUUACUGAAUGAACUCACAUAACCCAGAUAGGUAUGCCAUAGAGCCUAUUCAUGUAAUAAAAGACUUUGGCUCCAUGGCAAUUGAACUGUAUGUGUUUGUGGUCUGAGCGCCAUUCAGUAUUAAUGUGCGCUCAGACCUAAGCUAUCUGGGCAUAUGUUGCAUGUCUGUAUUUUAUGUCAUAAAUGUAACCUUGUGUAUUUUAUUGUAUUUUACUGUCUUUUUGCUGCCAUGUGUUCAAUGGAGUUUUGCAUCUGUCUUUGGAGAUAAUUGGAUUACUUCUAAUUAUCUCCAGGAUAGAAGACUCUGUGGAACUGGUUUUGAGCAGAAAAGCCAUGCUUCCUGUGGUCACAAAGGACUACGAUCUAUCUUUUGAACCACUGGACCAAUUUGUAUGAUUUUGACGUAUGUUUGUAUUUUGAGUAUGCUGAUUCUGAAAAUGUAAGUAUUUAUGUGAAUGUGAUGCAUACUUUUCAAGUUAUGAAUAAUGUGGAAAAAUUGUAUUUCUCUGCUUGUGCUAAAUUACAUUACCCAUUGUGUAAGGUAAUUGAAUCACAUGCAGAGGGGAGGAAUUUGUGUGGGAGUGUCUGAGUGUAUUGUAUGUGUUUAUUGGUUGUGUUCCAAAACCCUGUGGGUGGUACUAAUGUGUAAGAAUGUGUACAUAAGCACAAUAAACCCACAUAGAAACAUAGAAACAUAGAAUGUGAUGGCAGAUAAGAGCCAUUCGGCCCAUCUAGUCUGCCCAAUUUUCUAAAUACUUUCAUUAGUCCCUAGUCUUAUCUUAUAGUUAGGAUAGCCUUAUGCCUAUCCCACGAAUGCUUAAACUCCUUUACUGUGUUAACCUCUACCACUUCAGCUGGAAGGCUAUUCCAUGCAUCCACUACCCUCUCAGUAAAGUAAUACUUCCUGAUAUUAUUUUUAAACCUUUGUCCCUCUAAUUUAAGAUUAUGUCCUCUUGUUGUGGUAGUUUUUCUUCUUUUAAAUAUAGUCUCCUCCUUUACUGUGUUGAUUCCUGUGUUAUAUUUAAAUGUUUCUAUCAUAUCCCCCCUGUCUCGUCUUUCCUCCAAGCUAUACAUGUUAAGAUCCUUUAACUUUUCCUGGUAAGUUUUAUCCCACAAUCCAUGAACCAGUUUAGUAGCCCUUCUCUGAACCCUCUCUAAGGUAUCAAUAUCCUUCUGAAGAUACGGUCUCCAGUACUGUGUACAAUACUCCAAGUGAGGUCUCACCAGUGUUCUGUACAAUGGCAUGAGCACUUCCUCUUUCUACUGCUAAUACCUCUCCCUAUACAACCAAGCAUUCUGCUAGCCUUUCCUGCUGCUCUAUUACAUUGUCUGCCUACCUUUAAGUCAUCAGAAAUAAUCACCCCUAAAUCUCUUUCCUCAUAUGUUGAGGUUAGGACUCUAUCAAAUAUUCUGUACUCUGCCCUUGGGUUUUUUCGUCCAAGAUGCAUUAUCUUGCACUUAUCCACAUUAAAUGUCAGUUGCCACAAUUCUGACCAUUUUUCUAGUUUACCUAAAUCAUUUGUCAUUUGGCUUAUCCCUCCUGGAACAUCAAUCCUGUUACAUAUCUUAGUAUCAUCAGCAAAAAGACAUAUACCAGUGAGACUGUUCCUAUUAAUUUUAUGUUUAACUCAUUUUUUUAUCAUCUGACUUUUAUUUUGAAUAUUUGGAUGAACUUUGUUUUCCUACAUAAUAUUAUUGCUAUAGCAAUUUUUAUAUAAUUGUAUCAUUUAUUUUAUUUAUUUAUCUUAUUGUUCCUACUGAGAGCACUAUCUGCUGUUUCAUAUAUUUUGUGGUAAACAACGGAACCCAAGCCGGCCAGACGGACCUAUCCUUCCAGUAUAUCCUCAAGUGGGAUUAAACUACCAAGCGCCUCUCACACCUGAGCUGGUCCUAGCUUACAUUUAAGCAACCAAAAGGAACUCAAGCAGGAUGGACGCACCGACUAUUCCAGUAUAUCCUGAAGUGGGGAUCAUACCACUAAGUGCCAUUCAUCCCAGAGCUGCCCCUAGCUCCACCAAAUGUGAGUUCAUUAUCCUCUUUUUGAUUUAUUUUCCACACCUAGAUCUACAAAAUUUCACCAUUGGAAGUAUUUCUUUUGUCUCUUUUUUAUCUUCACAUAUAUGGACUAUUUACUACACGGACGGAUCAACAUCUGAGGAUUAUAUCCACACCAUCACUAUAUACCAGUGAGACUGUUCCUAUUAAUUUUAUUUUUAACUCAUUUUUUUAUCAUCUGACUUUUAUUUUGAAUAUUUGGAUGAACUUUGUUUUCCUACAUAAUAUUAUUGCUAUUAUUAUACCCAGGUUUUAUUACUUGUUGAUUAUACAUUUUCAUUUAUUGGUUUUUAUUUCAUAGUCCUCUGAUCUUAUAGCGCAGCCCUUAACUCCUCUGUUCUUUUCUUUUAUGAUGGUUUUAGUAAAAUAAUAAAAUAGAUUCUGCCUUUGCACAUGUCCUAGGGAGAGUUGAUGUUUCCCAUAAUAGCUUUAAUGUGGCUUUGAGCUGUCAAAAUCAUAGCAGAACCGUGAAAUGAUGUCAUAUUUUCUCAUUGUAGAAUAUAUGCUCCUUGUAAAAAAACAAACGUAAGAGUCGGGUAUACAAUAGAUUUAAAUUAUUAAUUAGAAGUAAAUAUAUUACAAGUUGAACACAUGCAGAAUCCCUUAUUAUAAAAGAGAUUACAACAAUAAAAUAUAAAAAAUAUCAAAAGGGUGAGCCAAGGCAAAAAAUAUUGGUGUUAUAAAAAUAGAGUUUAUUAUUAUAAGCAUACAAUGGCGUCUACGCCACAUAAUGUCUACUAAGAAAUCGCAAUAUAGAUUAUAGUAAUACUGACCAGAGUAGAUAGUUCUCUGUAAUCAGGGUACAGAUCAACACUGAGUACUAUCAAAUGAUAAGCACCGGUACAUGUAUACAACCAGACAAAGAAGCUGUGAAAAUUGAGAAUUUCAAUGCUAAUUAAUUCAGCUUUAACCAUUUUAAUGGGCAGUACAAUUUGAGACACAUUUUAAUUAUGUUGUGGGGGGAAUAACAGACAGUAAAUGAAUACAAGCAAUUUCCUAUUUCCAGUGCUAAGGUGUUACUUAUUAUUUUGUCAAGAUAGACAGAUCAAUAUUGAUCAUUCAAAUAAUUUGUCAUGUAUUUUGAAUCGGCUAUAGCAGUAUUGAAAUGAUUUUGUUUCUGCUAUAUGCAUUUCGACUUGGUUUUUAGUUAGUAUUGUUAUUUAUGCACUAAUGUGAUUUUAAAAUGCACUUGAAGUACACUUUGUUCAUUGAAGAAAAUGUUUAUAAGUUAGUUAGGAUAGACUGGCUCUGUAAUUUUCAGAAGAGUAUUUGAGGUCAUAGCGGAGUCAAAAUACAAGUGGGCUAAUUCUUAAACUGGCCCUGUGUGCAAAAUACCAAACAAAAACACCAAAUACUAUUUUAUUGUUCUUUUAGAUUCUAUUGCUUCCUUCCCCUCUCGCCAAGGCUAUGAAGUGAAUUAAUUACUCUAAUUAAAAUGACACUUUGUUUUAAGAUUAGAGAUGUGCAAAAAUAUUAAUAUGAAAUGUAUAUUGUUUACUCUAGGAUGGAGACACUUUGUGGACGCAUUCUCUUUUCAACAGCCCUGACAUCUACAUUCUCAACCAACAAGCGACAUGCUAUAAAUUCUGUGACCAUACAAAACCCAAUAAUUGCUGCUGGAGCUGUCUCAAAAGGCUUGAGAUGCAUUAUUAUAACCUGAUGUUUCUAAUUUAUCUUUCCCAUAAUCGUUUUGUAUUAUCAUGAUUCUAAAACAUAUUAAUAUCGUUUGGAUUUUUUUAAUGCCUGUCUGUAGAGCAAUAAACAAUCUAAUCUUGGUUGCUAUGAAACAUUCAUAGUGAUAUCUAUUUGAUCGUAAAAAGCUAAUUAGUAAAGAUUUUCUUUUGUGUUAAUGAUGUGCAAUUGAUUAUAGCUGGAGGAUGCAAAGAGACUGGAGAUUUUUUCCAUAAUGAGUGUUACAUAUCAUCCCCUAUGCACUAUGCAGCAAUGCAAAAGUAAUGUCAUUUUUUAUGACUUCUUUUUAUGAUGCAGACAAUGAGUACAAUCUAUUCAUCUUGGUAUUCUGCCAUAGCCCUUUGUAGAAAGACAUUGUUCAACCCCUCCUGGGAGCCUAAAGUUAUUGUCUACCAAUAUCACACCUAAAUGAGGUGCCUUAAUAGCCCAGUGGACAUCCGUUUAAUUCUGUCAGUUAACAUAAAUUAUC
Non-coding RNA from Pelobates cultripes (western spadefoot toad), 54313 nucleotides. The record is from the annotation of a GenBank genome assembly. NCBI's taxonomy places the organism in Eukaryota, Metazoa, Chordata, Amphibia, Anura, Pelobatidae.